Molecule: long non-coding RNA, 59888 nt
Filed under: Fragaria vesca (wild strawberry)
Lineage: Eukaryota; Viridiplantae; Streptophyta; Magnoliopsida; Rosales; Rosaceae
Description: long non-coding RNA (FVES_LNC003773)
Source: RNAcentral
CCAUAUAUCCUAUACCCUAAACCCUAUAUCCUAAACUCUAGGCCAAACUCAAAAAACAAAACUAAAAGACAUCCUAGCCAUUCAUUAAGAAUUGAUGGCUGAGAUUGCUUUAUGAGGUAAUAUUAACAUAAAAAUAUUAAGAGAGGAUCCGAGUCGGUCUUUUCUUAAUUGAGGUCGAUAAAGAGACCAUUAACCAAGGUUUCCCACACUUUGUUGCCGUAACAUAUUUGGUGAUACUAUAUUUCAUCAUGUUACUCGUAUGUUGCGUCCAUUUGAUCAUACAAAUAGAACACUACCUCUAUGUUAACACUAGACACAAUGUGCAAAGCGUAAACCGAGACAAACAUGCUUGACGCAAUGAUUAUACAAAUAUAAAAUGCACUAUCUCGUGUUUGUGUUUUAUCUGUUAUUCUGUUAAUUCAGUCAUGCUAAUUGUAGUAAGUUUAUUUUCAGCCGUCUGAUUCACAUGUCUCUAAUCAACAUAUAAUUUACAGAGUUUAGACUUUGGUGGAUGACCAAGAGACCAAGAGACCAAGAGACCAAGAGUUAAAGAUGGGUUCCGAUUAGGUUAAAUCAGAGCCGUCACGUGCUAACCACGUGUCACUAUAAACCCAGCAAUUAUAUACCCGGCCGGAUACGAAAACCAACCGCUCACUCCAAUUGGAUUUCACAGUGCCUUCCCUCCAAACUCGCCGAAGCACCCCAAAAACGACGCCGCAUUCAUCCUUCUCCGAUAACGAAACACCCUAGCUCGGCCACACCUUUCCGAGAACCAAGGGGCAGAACCGGUCAUACAAUAAGAGAACCAGAGGAGGCAAAAUCACCAAGGUCUGAAUCUCACCCCCCUAUUUCCCUCCCAAAACCAUAAACCUCUUUCCGCUCUGGUUUUCAAAAUUAGGGUUUUCAGUCUAAUCAGGGUUUCUGUUCUGGUUUUCUCAGGUCGUCAGAGAGCACUAUCUCCCCGACGAUAUCUACUGCGGAGCUCCGGUAUGCCAAAAGUGCAACAACACCAAUGCUCGCCUGAGCGCCGCCGCUUCCACCGUCCUCGUCCUCGUCCUCGUCCUCGACACCAAUGUGGUGCUCAACCAGGUUCGAAUCUCAUUUCUAUGGUUUUUGUUGAGUUUGCACUAUCGAAUUUGAAUUAGGAAGUGAUUUUGAGCUUGAGACUGGUUUUGCAGAUUGAUUUGAUUGAGAAUGCAGCCAUUAACGACGUGGUGGUGCUUUCGAUUGUGCUCGAGGAGGACAAGAACAGGAACUUGUCCGUUUACAAUAGACUUAGAGCUAUCUGUAGCAAUUCCUUGCGGAACUUCUAUGUUUUCUCUAAUGAGCAUCACAAGUAGGUUUCGGUUUCUCUUUUUUGCUUUAGAGUUUUCGUUUUGCGAAUUUGACUCUUGUUUUGAUAUUUAACCCCAGAGUUAAAUAUUAAUUGGGCUGGGAUUCAGUGGAGAGGCGAUUGCGUCUCUCUGGGGUUUUGGAGACCCCUAUUUGCUGCGGAUUAGGAAGGGCGAAUGGAUUAACAUGCUCAAUUUUGUUUUUGCUUCCACGUUCUUGAGUAUGAGCAGUAUAAGGUCAGAAUUUUGGGAUUUUGUUUUCUGUUUUGAUUUUAGAUUACAUGCAUGUAUAUGAUUUCUGUAAAGCACAAGAACCCUAGAUGCAUGCCCGGAAUGCAACAUAGGUUAGUGUACUCCUGUGGUGUCCAGAUGAAACUUACCUUCAGUUGCAUGAUUUUGUGUUUUGGAUUGGAACGAUGCUUGUCUAAAAUUGAAUGAAGUUUCUAUGUGUUUGCAAUUGAUAUAAAGAUGUUGUAUGAUUCAUGCUUAUCCUCUGCACCUUAGAUUUUGAUUAAGAUAUACAUAUAUAUAUAUAGAGGUUUGAUUGCUUUGAUUGAUUAAGAUCGUGUGUUUUGAGAAUUGAGUUUUGAUCUUCAUAUUAGUUGUUUGCUGGGCUUAAGUUUAUCUCCCUGUUCAGUAUUGUGAAAUCCUUGUGAACACACUACAACAAAACUCAAAACACAAAACACUCUAAAUAUAGUCUUGAUCCAGUUUAAUUAUAAUCUUUUAACAAAUUGUAUUGUCAAUAGCAAUCUUUUUGAAAGGAAUUAAUGUUAAACAGAAGUAAUGGAUCAACAACUUGUAAUAUUGAAUCUAAUUGUCUGUGUCUUUGCUCCCUUAAGGAGGUUUAAACAUUCACAUCUCUUAGGUUCAGUAUUAGCAUAUAACAGAAAAUUAAAAUGCAUUCAGGGGUUGUUAGAGGUUGUUCUUCUUGCCACUCUAGGUGUUGACAUAAUCUAAUAAACCUAUAGUUGUUUUAAUAUUCUGGUUAUAUGAUUCAGCUUGUGUCGAUAUGUCCUUUUGCCACUCUAGGUAAGGCAGACACCUUAUGUUUUGGGGCACUUCAGUUUAAUGCCGUAUAUUUAUAAAGUUUUACUAAAUCUAGAACCUCUUUAUGUUUUACUACAGCCAUGAACCUCCCCUUAGGACUUCUUCAAAUAUAAAGCUUACAUGGGUCGAACUUUAAGCAAUGGAAGCAAGACAUAGAGCUGCAUCUAGGAAUGAUAGACUUUGACCAUGUCCUUAAUUAAGGAGGAUCCACUAGCAGAACCAACAACUACUACCGGCAAGGAUGUGAAAGAUAGGUACCAUCAGUGGCAUAAACACAACAGACUGACCUUAGCUAUUCUGAAGAAAUAUACGACAACUUCUGUGAGAGGUAGUAUACCUGAGUCUGAGUAUGCUAAGCAAUAUUUCAAAAAUAUAGAAGAAAGGUACAUAGUAUCAGAGAAGGCAGAGAUUGGAAACUUGAUGAAUACCCUCAUUACCAUGAAGUUUGAUGGAGUUGGAAGCGUUAGGGAAUUUAUAAUGAAGGGGAUUGAUAUCGCUGGAAAACUCAACGCCCUAAAUGUCAGUAUUGAAGAUACUUUUCUGGUGCAUUUGCUUUUGAAUUCUCUACCUCAGCAAUAUAGUCAGAUGCAGUCAAACUACAAUACACAGAAGGAGAGUUGGUCUGUGAAUGAACUGAUUUCAAUAUGUGUCCUAGAGGAGUAUAGAAUAAAGAAGGGAUAGAGCAUUGGAGUGAAUCUUGUCAGCAAGCCUCAAUUUAAGAAGAAAUUCGGCUAUAGGUCAAAUCAAUCUGGUGCUUCAUCUUCCAAAGUUUCUCAGGGAAAUUCUCAGGGAUUUAACAACUAUAAGAAUUUUAAGAGUGUGGGUCUGUAGAGUGUUUCUUCUGCCGAAAGCCUGGUCAUGUCAAAAAGGACUGUAAGGGUUUUAAAGACUGGCUGGUUAAGAAAGGGAUAUCUAAGAAAGAGGAUCCCAAAUAAGGACGAAGCUAGGAUUAGCUCAGGGAAUGGCAAACAGAGUAACUGUCAAAGCAAUUGGAGUAGUUAGGCUUGUUUUCCUAGUGGCUUUACUUUAGAUCUGGACAAUGUGUACUGCAUACCUUCUAUGCAGAGAAAUUUAGUUUCAGGAUCUCUUUUUGUCAAAACUCAUGGUUAUUCUUUUGUUGGAAGUAAUAAAAGUCUCAAUUUUUUCCCUUUUUCUGAUUUUAUUAGUAAUACAUCUCUGGUUGAUGGUUAUUGGCAUUUAAACCAUAGAAAUUCACUUGCGGUAUUUUUGACAGAAAAGACUAUAGGACAUAAGAGACCUAGACAUAAUGAGAAUUCAACUUUUCUUUGGCAUAAAAGGCUGGGACAUAUCUCAAAAGAGGUUAAAAAUACUUGUGAGAGAGGACAUUCUACCUUCUUUAGAUUUUACUGAUUUUAACGUCUGCAUUGAGUGUCUUAAAGGUAGAAUGACCAAGUCUAGGAAAACGGGGUCUGUUAGGAGCUGAGAACUAUUAGGAUUAAUUCACAAUGACAUCUCUGGUCCUUUUCCUCAUCUGACUCUUUGUAAAAAUCAGUAUUUUAUUACCUUUAUUGAUGAUUUUUCAAGGUUCUGCCUGUAUUUCUUAUUUCUGAAAAGUCACAGGCUUUAGACGUCUUUAAAAGAGAAACAAUUAAUUAAAGUCAUUAAAGUUGUUAGAUCAGAUAGGGGAGGUGAGUAUUAUGGUAGGCAUACAGAUGCUGGACAGAAUAUGAGACCUUUUGCUCUUUAUCUUCAAGAAUGUGGUAUUUAGGCUCAAUAUACCACUCCAGGGACACCAGAACAGAACAGAGUUGCAAGAGAAGGAACAGAACGUUGAUCAACAUGGUUAGAAGUAUGAUUAGUAAGUCGGGAUUUCCAAGAUUUUUGUGGGGGGAAGCAUUGCAGAUUGCGAACUAUAUCUGCAAUAGGACCCCUAGUAAUUCAGUCAACAAUAAUACACCUUUUGAGUUAUGGUUCGGCAGAAAACCUAGUUUAAAUCACUUUCAUGUGUGGGGACGUAAGGCAGAGGCAAGGGUUUAUAAUCCCAAGGCAGGAAAGCUUGAUCGUAGAACCUCGAGUGUUUUCUUUGUAGGAUACUUAACCAAAUCUAAGGGGUUUAGAUUCUACAGCCCACAUCACCAUAUUAGAAUUCUAGAGACCAAUAGAGCUACAUUUUUAGGAGAGAUGAAUGAUGCUGACAAUGUUGUUAUGGAUGAACUAGAUAUGGAAGCCGGCAGAAAUAGUGUGAGUGACAUCGAUGAAUGGUUUGGGUAUAAUGAAGUAGAAAAUAAUGUGUCUGGUGACUUGAAUGAAGAAAAGGUAUGUAGAUUAAGAAAGUCAAUCUAUAGUUUAAAAACAGGCUUCGAGUCAAUGGUAUAUUAAGUUUGAUUCUGUGAUUACUUCAUUUGGCUUUGCUGAAAAUAGACUAGAUGAGUGUAUAUAUAUGAAGGUCAGUGGGAGUAAAUUCAUAUUUCUAGUGUUGUAUGUCGAUGACAAUCUAUUGGCCAGCAGUGAUUUAGGAUUGUUGAAAGAGACUUAGAACUUUCUGAUGAAGCACUUUGAUAUGAAGGAAAUGUUCACUGUUAGACGAGAGAAAAGAAAGGAAAAGAAGAAUGAAAAUAACGAAGCGAAGAGUUUUCGGAAGAAGACUGCUGGUAAAAAGGUUCUCAGUAUUUGCAUAAGACGAAGGAUUAUAUGCUGGUUUAUAGGAAUCUUGAUACUGAAUUAGAAGUAGUUGGAUACAGUGAUUCAGAUUAUAAGGGUUGUGUGGAUGAUCUUAAGUCAACCUCAGGGUAUAUUUUUAUGCUGGCUGGAGGGGCAAUAUCUUGGAAGAGUGUGAAACAGUCUCUAACUUCUACUUCCACUAUGCAAGCUGAAUAUGUUGCUGUCCAUACAGGGCAAGCACUUUAGCUCAGAAACUUUGUUGUACAGAUUGGAAUAGUAGAUUCUAUUGAGAAACCAAUUAAGUUAUAUUGUGAUAAUGCAGCUGCGGUAUUCUUUGCUAAGAAUAAUAAAAGGUCCACAGCUUCCAGUAAUAUUGUCGUCGAUUACUAUGCCGUAAGGGAAAGCGUAAGAGAUGAUGAGAUUGAUGUUAUUAAGAUCAGUACUCAAGAUCAGUUGGCAGAUCCACUUACAAAACCCUUAGGAGUUGGUACUUUCCAGAAUCAUGUUACAAAUAUGGGGAUCUUACCAAGUUUUGAUGUCUUAGGUUAGUGGGAGAGUUCAAUCUGCAUUGCUGUAGACUUAAUAUCUUUAAGGUUUCUGAUUUUAGUAUUUUAAUUAUUCAAAUAUCUGACUAAAGGAGUAUUAUUGAAUCAGUUUUCUGCAUAUUUUUUUUUCAUCUUGCUCAAGUAAAAGUUGUUAUUUCAGUUCAUUAGCAUUAUAUACUUUAAUACUUGUAUGUAUCUUCAGUAUUUGAAGUUGCAGAUUCCUUAAGUUGGAGAAUCUAUUAUUUGGAUCAUUUUACUUGCAUUAUGUUCUGCAAGUUAAAAUUUCAAAUGCCUAAAGUUUACUCCUGUUCUGUAAGAUAUUGGAUUUUAGUCACAUGCUUGGUUAAAUGUUAGAUUUCCUGUGGUUCAAUAUAAUGGAUUACAGAAUGACCGAGUUUUGGGAUGAAUUUGAUGGUGCUGGAUAUGUCUUUGUGCACACUUCAGUUUUGCUAUAUCUGAUGCAGUAGCUUUUCUUGUUGUUUGAAUAUUGAUAGUUCAAGUGGGAGAUUGAAAGACUUAAUGUGGACUAUCAAUGAUUCACUAAGUAUCAAUAACUAAGCUACAUAAAUUACAGAUGAAGCAAGUAAGACAUUCCUAGUGUUCAUCAGACUCAUGAUUGAUUACAUGUUAAUAUCAGUACUGAUUAGUAAGGUUACUUAGCUAAUGAAGUAUACCUACUUGCAUAUGGAACAGGAAAAGGUUGGCCUUAAUGUAGAAGGAUUGGGAAACCUUUUAUGGGAGGCACCUAAUCCUCAAUGCUCUAACAAUCAAUAUAAGCAUUCAAGUUCUCUGCCCCAUAAGUGAGAUUGCCUUCAGUCAAUUGUUCAGAGGAGAAGAUCAAGCAUGUCUUAUUCAGGUUAGUAUUUCCACUCUUGUAUAUACAUCAUAUGUGUUCUUGUGUUGAGUACAACUUAUAAUUCCGCAUACAUAUUUAGAAGUAAGUCUUAUCGAUUCUCUAUAACAUUACAUAACAUAAAAUAAAUCGUUAGAAAUUUUGUAGUUGGAUUUGUCUCAUUAUGUUAGACAUGAUCUUGCAUGCUAAAAGUUGUCAUACUAAGAAAAAUGAAUAAUUUACGUAUAUCUAUUAUCUUCUAAUUCACAAACAUGCACCCUUUUAUAUAAUUGUCUUAUUCCACACACCACCUGCAAUAUUAGAGGCGGUAUGCUAUAAUGCUAACUUGCUAAAUACAAGUAAAGUACAAUCUUGUAGGCAUAUAUGGAUAAAUAGUUCUUGCACAUUUCUCCAUUUCUUACCAUUGACCUCUGGGCUUGGAGAGGUCAUGUUUGAGACCAGUAGUUUCCACUCCAGCAGAAGUUUUAGCAACCUCUAAUUUCGUUUCAUCAGCCACACUAACCGUUUCUCUAAACUUCUUGUAAAUAUCACCCUUAUAAAACUUCCUUGUCCUCACCACCAAAACCAAAGAAACUAGUGUUCCAACAAAAGUUACCACAGUAAUAAUGAUGAAAGACCAUUUGAAGCACUCUCCCCCAACACAGUUCAACUCCUCUCCAACCUUCCUCUGAAUCCCCAAAGCUGCCAUUUGCUUCUUAGCCUCCACAUCAUACAAAUGCCCCGUAACCCUCACAUUGAGCACAUACAACCCAAUAGGGCUAGCCAAUCCACCAAUAUUGUACAAAGUCGAGUAGUACUUGAGGCCGAAAAGCUCGGAUAUAAUGGUGUAGAUCAAAGGCCAAUGAGCACCAAAACAAAAACCAGUGACCACUGAAGCAACAUAGACACCAUAUGGGAUGUUGAACGCUAUUAGAAGAUGACCAACACACGAGAGCAAGAGAAUUGCUGUGAAAAUUAGAGGGCGAGGCCAUUUGUACUUUGUGAUGAAUAUUUCUGAGCCUAUACCAGCGGCAAUAUGACCUGAAUAGUUCCAUAUGCUUGUUAGGGACACAAAGUUUCUUAUGCUUUUCAGAGGGUACCCAAGAGAUGUACCAAUUUGUCCCAAGUUGUCCAUCAUGGUCAUGGUGCCUCCAAGUCCACAAAUUGUUGCAAAGAGUAAAGUCACCAUCUCGACGCUGAAAACGGCUUGAAGUAUGGUGAAGUCCUCUCCGAUCUCCGGCGGGUUAAAUAUGUCUUUCCGCCAAGAAACUUCUUUUUCAAUGACAACAAAAUGUUCUAAUGGUUCAUCUCGAUGCCCCAAAAUCUCCGGUUUGGCAUGGCUAGAAUCUUUAGUUACUAUUGAUCUCUUGCUCUCCCAAACCUUGUACUCUUCCAUAAUUACCACGGUAAGUGGUAAAAAGAGUAAAAAGAGGACUACAGCUGCACUUCCAACAUACUCACUUGGACUAAACGUGACCCUUUUUUCCACUAUAAUUAUAACCAACAAAAAUGCAGCUAGACCUAGUGACAGAUAGAGGAAGUGAUAAAAAGCCUUGAGCUCGUUCGAGCCACGUCGACUAACCUUCAUGAUCCGAAUAGUUCCGAUGAAGGCGAAGGAAAUAGCUGUCGGAAGCCAGGCCACAACCAAAGUGAAAUACUUGGUAUCGUCACCGUAGACGGCAUGGUACAGCUGUGCCACCACAGCUGCACUUAUACCAGUAUAGCUCUUCAAAAGCCCUAGCACGAUGCCACGGCUCUCCGGGAAGUUCUUCACGCAGGUGACCAGAGCUCCGGUGUUGGUGAAAGUGUGUGAGUUAGCUCCUAUGCCCAUGUACAUGCACAUGUGCCAAACUUGGGGUUUAUGGAUUUUUUGAGCUACUGCUAGCCAAAUCAUGAAGUGCCCGAAGAAGUUGAGGACUGCACCGAUUGAUAAGACCACCCAGGGUGGUGUGACUUCGUUGAUGAGGCCGGAGAGGAUGCCAAUGUUGGCACCUAGGUCUUUGGAGAAGCUGAUGAGGUUGAGGGUGGUUUGGUCGUAGCCGAGGACAGACUUGAUGUCGUUGGAGUAGAGGCCGAACAUGUAGCUGGCACCGGCUGUGACCAUCAUCAGAAAUGAAGCAAACACAAUCAGCCAUCGUCCUUUGAGGACUUGCAGGACAAGGCUCUUCAUGUCCACCCAAGUCUAUACUAGCAGCUCCCAUUUCUUCUAGACAAGCCUUUUUAAUGAAACGUGCAACACCGAGACUAAUUCUCAUCAAAUAAAGCUUAAUUUUGAUGGUUCGGUGAAGCAUACAUAGUGAUUGCCACCUAUUUACAUAUACUGUAGCUCCCACUACACCAUCCCUAGUGCAUGCCAUGAUUGACAGUAAGAACUGGAACAUAUAUAGUACAUUGCUCCCUCUGUUUAUUAUAUAAACUAACUUGCACUAGACACUCAGAAUUAUAACCUAAUAAUUGCUUACUUCAAUUAUUUACCCCGGGAUUUCUACCUUACAUCUUUAACUUCAGAACCACUACUCUCAUAUGCACCUUCCAACUUUUCACUUAACUUUUGUAGUCUAACUGGGUUUCUGGCCACCACAGUUUCAUACUCUACUUCUUUGGCCUCAUCUUUGAACUUUUUAUAAAUGUCACUGUUAUAGAACUUCCUAGUCCUAAGCACCAAAACAAGUGAAAAAAGCACACCAAGCAUUGUCACUCCAGUGAUUAUAAUGAAGGGCAAUCUGUAGCAUUGCCCCCCACUGCAAUUUAACCCCUCCCCAAUCUUCCUCUCCAAUCCCAAAGCUCUCAGUUGCUUCUCUGCUUCCUUAUCAUAGAGAUACCCCGUCACCCUCACAUUGAUUAAAUAUGACCCAAGUGGGCAAGCCAUUACCCCAACAUUGUUCAACGUAGAGCAGUGCUUAAGCCCGAAAAUCUCAGAAGUGACCGAAAAUAUCAGUGGCCACUGUCCACCAAAGCAAAAGCCGAUGAUUAUCGAAGCCGCAUAGAGACCGUUUGGCACAUUGAAUGCAAUCAGAAGGUGACCAAUGCAUGAUAGCAAGAGGGAGAGAGUGAACAUGAGAGGUCUGGGAAAUUUGUACUUUGUGAUGAAGAUUUCUGAGAGCAUACCCACCAUUACUUCCCCUAGGUAAACCCAAAUGCUUGUGAGUGACACAAAUGUGCUUAUACUUCCCAAUGAGUAUCCCAAUGCAGUUCCAAUCUGACCCAAGUUGUCCAUCAUUGUUAACAUGCCGCCUAGGCCGCAUAGUGUUGUCAAGAACAACGCAAACAUUUCGAUGCUGAACACUGCUUGGAGUAUGGUGUAGUCCUCUCCUAUCUGUGGUGGACUAAAUAUAUGAUUCCAAUCCCAACAAGAAACUUUCCUGUCAUCACUAGGUGACACUAAUGAUACUGGGGAUGGAAUUAUACUCAGCUGGUUUUGGCCUGAUGAAUCGAUAUGUUCUGCGGUACUAAUCAGUCGACUGUUCCUCCAAAUAUUUUUCUCUUCGGCUACAACAACAGCGAGUGGGAGAAAGAGCAAGAAAAUUACUACAGCUGCACUCCCACUGUACUCACUUUGUGUGAAGUUGACUUGCUGCUCUACUAUGAUUAUUACCAACAAGAACAUGGCAAGUCCAAGUGAGAUAAAAAAGAAUUUAUGUAACACAUUGCGGUCAUUUUUGUUUGGUAUAACCGUCAUGAUUCUAAUGGUCCGGAGAAAUAUCAGAGAAAGAGUAGAAGGAAGCCAUGCGACGAACAAUGUGAAGGACUUAGUGUCAUCACCAUAGAGAGCAUGGUAUAGCUGCGCGAUUACUGCUGCACUUAGACCAAUGUAGCCAUUCAAAAGGCCUAACAAGAGUCCACGGCUUCUGGGGAAGUUCUUCACGCAGGUGACUAGAGCUCCGGUGUUGAUGAAAGUGUGCGAGUUUGCCCCCAUUGCUAUGUACGUGCACAUGUGCCAAACUUGGGGCUUGGCUAUUUUUUUGGUCACGGCAAGCCAAAUCAUGAAAUAGCCAAAGAAGUUGAAAGCUGCACCGAUCGAUAAGACCACCCAUGGGGGAGUCACCUCGUUGAUCAGCCCCGAAAAUAUGCCAAUGUUGGCCCCUAAGUCCUUGAAGAAGCUGAUGAGAUUGAGGGUCGUUUGGCUGUAACCGAGUGAGGACUUGAUGUCAUUUGAGUAGAGGCCGAACAUGUAGCUUGCACCAGCACUAGCCAUCAUUAGAAAUGAAGCAAACAACAUGAGCCACCUUCCUGUAAGAACUUGGAGGGUGAAAGCCUUCAUUUUUGUCCAACUACCCAUUCCUCUCGCCUAGAAGUACCUCUGUAGCAAAGCUUGCUUUUUAAGAGAAAUUAGAAUCUGUGAAACACAUGGCAUGAGCUUGCAGUAACUACAAGUCAAUAAUAUAUAAUCACUUAUAUUUGUGUAUACAAUUUAUAAUCAGAUAAAGUUUCGUUUUCAAAUUAAAUUGCGAAGGUCCUGAUAUAUAUUACAAAAAUCCAAUACUAACUAGACCAUACAAACAUCCGAAUUCCAGUGACUACAAGUCAAUAUCAACCAAAAUGGCAUGGCCACAUAAUCGUGGUGACUGAGAGACCACACACUAUUGUAGCUGCAUGUUAUUUGAUACCGAUCUUACAAAUUAAUAAAAGAUAAUUAACUUGUCGAAAUUUAUCAAAAUUAGACGUAAAAACUUGGGUCAUUCUCUUUCUAUCGAAACAAAAAAAAUAAAAUGAUCAUACUCAAUCUUAACUAGGCAUCUAAACUACAUACAGAUGUGUAAGGGUCAAGUGACAAGUCUUUUUGCACAUAUUUUUCAGUGUUGAGCUUAUGGUUCUUGAUGUAUGUAGAUUAUGGUUAAAGUGGUUCCAGACACCACAAAAUAGACUAAUUACAUGCAAAUACACUUUUGGAUACGAGAAAAAAGUGGAAGGAAUAUAGAGAGAGUGAAUUUACCCAACUUGUGAAGGCAACUUUCCGGUGGCAGCCGCUGCAAAGAUAUAUGUUCUGCUGCGGAGUAGGUGUCGGCUCCUUCUUCGACGGCAGCGUUGGGGAACGUAGUGGCAGCGGUUGCCUCAGGGCUCAGGCUCUUUGGAUAUUUGGGUUUCAGCUGUUUGAGCGAGUCGAGGUGGUGAUGAUGAUGAUGAAGAAUAAGAAUGAAGAAUGAAGACCAUACGUAGAAUAUAUAUACAAAGAUUAGCUACUCGAGUGCCGCUUUCUCUUUUGUUUUUGUUGUCUUUGCGUCUUGGGAGCAUGCGUGGAAUUUUUUUGAACCCUUGUCUCGGGGGCUGUAUCUAGUUGGAAGAGGUACCUAGGGACUCCACCCAUCACUCUUAAGACAUCAUCACUCGGCACUGUCACCAUGAUGAAAGUUUAUACACAAUCAUAUAUGAUUCCUCCAUAUACGAAUCUUCUUGUUGAAUAUGUUUUUCGUUUUAAUUUAGGAUGAUGUAGCAAUUCAUCUUAGUUUUUUUUUGAUGAUGUAGCAAUUCAUCUUAGUUACAUCGACGAACUAGUACAUGCAACACCCAUUCGGCUACUAUCUAGCUGAAGAUUGUUACUACCAAAAGACUAAUCUCUUGUCGUAUGCUUAGAAACUCCUAAACCCUCUCAAACCUAUUGCAUGGCCACAAACUUGUGAUGGUUCUGAUUUUUGUGUGGAGAAAAUCUUACGGCCCACGUGUCUUGUGUGACUCACUAGUCACACAGCGACACGUUGUUUUUUUUUUUUUUUGUCAGCAGCUCUUCUUCCCUCAUUCCUCUCUCUUCUCCGGCAAAACCGAUCCCCUCUAACGAAGCUUUUUCACAACUCUUCUUUUUCUUCUUUCUCCUUCUUCUUCUUCCUUCCUCCCUCUUCUUCUUCCUUCCUCUCUCUUGGUAGAGGCGUGAUUUGCACAGGUUGGUGGAGACGAGCUCGACGGCGGCAGGUUGUCAUCCAUAUGGUGGAGGCGGCGAUGGGGGUUCCAGGCGGCAGCUGGGCAGAGGGGCCUGCUAUGCUUUGAUCGGAGGGAUCGGGUUUCGCUAGAGAAGAGGGAGGAAGGGCCAGAGAAGAGGGAGGGAGGAAGGAAGAAGAGCUGCGAAAAAAAAAACACAUGUCGUUGUGCGACUGGUGGGUCACCCAGGACACGGGUGCGGCUGUCGAACGUAAAAUUUUCUCUUUUGUGUGACACCACACCUAUAGUCAAAGAAAUGAAAUAACACACUACAUCUAUUAUUCAAUCAAGCUUGCCAUCUUUGACCUACAACUUUACAUCAACUUCACUUUACAAGUCGAAACAGAUUUUUUUUUCUUUUUCCUUUCUGAAAGCGAAAUCAAUCAAAUUUCCAUAGUCGGGUUCUCGUAGAAACAAGAUAAAUACUCUACUCACAUUAGUCGAUGAAUGGAUUGCAAGCAGCGAUCAUCAGUUAAAGCUUGGCAAUAGCAGAACCAUACAAAUUGGAUCUUUCAGGAAGCUUCAACUCUUCCAAUUCUUCAUCAUCACUAUCCAACUUAGAGAAGUAGCGAUCAACCAUCUCGUCAGUGAUAUGCUCCAACUUAGAAGGCUCCCAUUUCGGGUUCUUAUCCUUGUCCAACAAUAUCGCUCUACAACCCUCCCCAAAGUCCUUACUGAUCUCCCCUCUCACAACAUGGCAAACCAUUCUUUGCUCACGAACAAGGCACUCGCCAACUCCUUGCAUCCUUCCUUCUCGAAUCGAUCUCAAUGUGAUCUUCAAACUUAUCGGUGACGCCUUUUUCAGGGAUGCAAUCGAUGAAGACAACCAGUGAUCACGAUCAUGUAUACCAGUUGUAGCAAGCUCCUUCUCAAGAGAACUUAAAAUUUCCUCCACUGUGCUCUUAGAAAAGCACUUGUCAAUAACAUCUAUUCUGUGACAAACGCUCUUCUCUUUCACAGCUGGUUGCUGUGAGUAUUCAUUAAUAAUGGCUGAAAUAUUAUCAACAAGAUCACUGCUCGAUAUAUUUGUGGAAGCAACUAGGGCUUCUUCUAACGAGGCUAAUUUGGCUGAGGGAACAAAGUGAGUUGCUAAACCACAAGCGAGCAUUUCAGGACCGUCCAAUCUAGCACCAGUAAGACCAAGAUAUUCUCCAAAGAAUCCAGGAAGCCUUGACAGAAAAUAAGAAGCACCCAAAUCGGGAAACAAUCCCAGAGCUGUUUCCGGCAAAGCAAACACCGAGUUCUCAGUUGCUACACGAAACCUGCCGUGUAUAGAAACUCCGGCGCCACCUCCCAUGACAAUUCCAUUGAGAAAUGAAACCUGGGGCGUAGUGUUUUUUGCUAUCAAGUAGCCUAGGGUAUACACCCUCUUACCUUGUCGCGCUCCAAAUCUCCAGUUGCCUUCGAAAAGAUGACGAGCCACCACCACCACAUCGCCGCCGGCGCAGAAUGCUCUUCCUUUGCCUUUGAGAAUGACCAGCUUGACAUUGGCGUCGUCCUCGUAGGCGUGGAACAGUUGGCACAGCCGAGACAUCAUUUCGUAGGAGAGAGCGUUCAGUUGUCGAGGCCUGUUCAGUGUUAAUAUCCUCGCAAACGAGUCCCGUUGUAUCAAGAUUUGAUCAUCCUGAUCCGAGUUGAUGAAAGAAGCCAUGGGAGAUAUGAUGUUACUGGAAAUGUGAAAAUGAUAGUAGUACUGAACAAAUAAUAGUAGUAUUGAUACUUUGAUAGUAUGAUUAGUAUCGCUGUAUCAGUCUUAAGAAGGCGUGCGCCUGGAUCUAUAAAAAACAAAUGACUCUCCCUAGACUUUGCUAGCUAGUUGACUACAUAUUGAGCACCAAACAUUCAAACAAUAUGAGAUGGAUCCAAUUUUACGCAAAAUAAUUAAUUAAAUUAAUUGAAGUUGGGAUAGUUAAUUACUUCCUUGACUAAUUACCCUCCCUCAAUCAAAGAACUAUAUUGACGGUUGAAACAUCUGUCAUUUUUCAAAAGAAAAUAAAUAUUAAAAGUACUAAAUAAUUUGUCUUAUGCAAGAGAUAUCACUCAACCUGGUCUGCACGGUAUCUUCAUUUUCAUAUUGAUGAAUCCACCAAUCAGCUAUUUCCGGUGAAGAACGGGAGUUUGCACUGGACCUAGCUAGAUACACGAAACGUGUGAAUAUAUACAAGACAUAUCCAGAGAGUGCAUUUCACCCAGAUUUUUUAAAUCUUAAAGCAGGAAAUUCAUGCACAUACAUAUUGUUGAAUCAGAUUUGAGAGAGAGAGAGAGAGAGAGAGAGAGAGAGAGAGAGAGAGAGAGAGAGAGAGAGAGAGNNNNNNNNNNNNNNNNNNNNGAGAGAGAGAGAGACAGUACCGGCCAUUAUACACACGAGGCGGCUGGUUAUUACAAAAAUCUCUAACUACAUAAACAUUUUGAUUGACUGAAAUCGAUCCUCGUAGUAAUUAUCAUAUAAAAUGGUCACUAGUUUUAUACGAAUGGAUGCAUAUACAGCAUCCCUAGUUCUCUACGUACAACGAGGCUGCUGGUUACAAGAAUCUGUACCUACAUACGAUUUUGAUCGAGCUAUGUCCUCCUAAUUAUCAUAUAAAAUGGUUACACUAACGUAACAAUGUUUUAUUGGUAUAAUUUAUGUAAAUGUGAAGAGUUUAUAUAAGGUAGCCAUGUUUUAUUAGUAUCGUUAAUUUAUUAGUUUGGCAGAUGCAAUGUCCCUAUUUUUCGUGGGAUUCAUAUCUUCUAUCAUAUUGACAUAUUAAAUGGGAAGAGAUUAUAUAAUGUAGCCAUGUUUUAUUAGUAUCUUUAAUUUAUUAGUUUGGCAGAUGCAAUGUCCCUAUUUUUCGUGGGAUUCAUAUCUUCUAUCAUAUUGACAUAUUAUCUGCCUUAACAGAAAAACAAACUAAUAUAUUAACUAUAAUGUCAUGAACAGAGCCAUUUUUUUUUAUCUUAAAGACAAUUUUGUCAUUAGUACUAAAGUAGAGGGACAAUACGAAUCGAUCCACUGCCAUGCGUACAGAAGACAAUCAAGAUCAUAUGAUUCGUAUGAGGGCUGUAUCCUCAUUACAAAUUUCGACUCACAAGGAGCCUAUAAUCUAAUAGCAAAUAGAUCAUAGGCUAAGAUCUCACCUAAAAAACUAUAAAAAUGCUAAAGAAAGAUAGACUCAUAACGCCAAGACGCCAUGAGGCACAAAAAAUGUUUAGGCGCAAAAGUGCUUAGAGUCCUAAUGAAAGGAACUUAUUGUACUAGAAAACUAUAAUCUAAAAAAGCAUCUAAAGCCCAAAAAGAAAUUAAACCUAAACCCGAAACAAUUAACCUAGCCCAACUUUCUUUCACAAUUACAGGAAGGACAUGGAAGAGGAACAUAUUAGCCGUCGCCGCAAUGAGAUGAGGUUGCCUUCGUGAGACGUCGCCGCAGUUGCCGCUGUGGGACAUUGCCGCCGCCUUGUUCCGUACAGCCACAAGCACACCCCAAGGAGAAGAAACUCCAUUGUCGCCACGAACUUAGAGACCAAAUAACAUCUCCACCAAACCAAAGCUCCUCUCAUGAAUAAACAAGGAUGGAGAUGGAAUCGGGAAGAUGAAACCAGAUCUGCUCCUCGAGUCCAUGGUGCCAUACCUCCAAACCGAUCUGAAAAGCCAUGCUAAUCAAAAGCUGUUAAGAAUCUCUAGCAAAUUACCUCUCAAAGCAUUUGGUUGCUAACAUAUCCUUCAUCCGACAACAAAGUCAUACGGUUUCAGUAGAUCUAGAGACCCGUCUAACGUUAGACCGUCGCCGGAUGAGGGUUGGAUUUCGUGGUUUGCGGCCGACUUAGAGAAUGAACAGAGCCAUAUGUUAUCUAUAAUGCUAACAAAUGAUUUCCUCUCUCAUGCUACCAAUGAGAUUUGGAAUAACCAACAUGCUAGAGCUAACCAAGAAAUUACGAACUCAUGCAUAUAUUAUUAUAUAUGGACAAAUGUGUUGUCUGUGAUGAUAAAAAAUUAAAUUUGAUGCCCUACUCCUAAUUAGUAACGUGCGCGCGCAUAUUUAUAUAUUUUGUUCAUCGAUGGCUAUAAUGAAAGGAUCAUGUAAAUGACACAGUCUAUAUAAGUACAAUCGUGUGGAAGAUUAAUCUCCGAGGUUUCUUUUAUCCUCCAUCAAACAAGUGCAUUUCUUUUGCUGGCUACAAAGUAGUCGAAUUUAGGUUGAAAUGUCUGCAGCAAAUACUAUGCUUGGAAACAAUUGUUCACUCUUGGAAAAGGUCACACGCCUAUUUGUUACUAGAUUUAUAAGACAAUAUACCUCCACAGGAUGUAUAAUGUGAGUAAUGUAUACUUAAUUUUGGUCCUAAUUGUUUGACAUCUAAUUCAUUACAUUCAUGUUUAUACUUAUUAUGCAUGCUCUGAACCUUUUUCUUCACUCUUUCUCUUCAUAAAGCUCAAGGAAUCAUAUCAGUAUUGAUCCAAAUAAACAUUUAGUAGGAUCAUUUGCAUUGCAUGUUUCUCUCUUGAUCAACACAAUUCGCCUGAUUUGUUGCGAGUAUAUACGAUCUUCAAGUGUGUGUGUGUGUAUAUCUUAUGCAGUAGUUAACCCAGUUCCACUCGAUCUAUCUCCAGCUGUUUCUGUUUGAGGCAAUCAUAUCCCUUAAUAUAUUGACUCUUACAAAUAAAGUUUUGUGCACUACUGUCUUGUAUACAGUUUAAUAGAGGAAGACGGCACAACGUUAACCUUUGAGGGAACGAGCAUCGGUAGUUCUUUGAAAUCUGUUCUUAAAGUUCACAAUCCUCAGUUUUACUGGAAGGUAAACCAUUCUCAUUUUGGAUUUUGGAAAUUAUAAUUCUGAAUUAUGUACGUACUACUUAAUCUCAAAAGUACGUUCUCUCUUUCAGGUAAUGACUCGGUCUGAUUUAGGCCUUGCAGAUGCUUAAAUAAAUGGAGAUUUUUCUUUCGAUGAUAAAGACAAAGGUCUUGAGAAUCUCUUUACGGUAAUAUCACUGAUCAUGAUUUUCGACUGCAUGCAAGAUUGUUUGUUCAGUUCGAAGAUUAAAUUCCGUUUUACUAACUUAUUCAGUUUCCAGAUUCUCAUUGCCAAUAGAGAUUCAAAUUCUUCCCUCUCAAAAAUGAGCAAGAAAAGGUGCAAUUAACAUAUGUUACUGUCGAUCAUAAACUUGAAUGGAGGUAUAUAUACCUAUUGGUCAUCAAAAUCAUUGUGUCAAGUACUUAAUUAACUGAAUGUUGCUUGUUACAGCGGUUGGUGGACGCCAUUGUUAUUCGCUGCCAGUAUGACCCCUGCACGAUAUUUCUUUCAUCAUAUUACAAGGCAAAACACACUUACACAGGCUCGGAGGAACAUCUCUCGCCAUUAUGACCUGGUAAACAAUUUACAUAAUGUACGUUUAAGGAUUAAUACAUGCAUGUCUAACAUAUGACAUGAGAUAACUCAGAAGCUCAUUCCAAUUUUGUGUGCGCUGACCUAGAGUAAUGAACUGUUUUCGUUGUACUUGGACGAAACGAUGACGUAUUCCACGGCUGUUUUUAAGGUUAGCAUCAUCAGCUUUCAACAUAUUGAUAGUAAAUUACACCAUUUACACAGCAUGAAGAAAGUAUAUAUUGUAAUUUAAGUAUACAGUUGCUCCUCGUUUUUGAAUCAUUCUGUACGUAGGAAGAAGAUGAAGAAUUGAAGAUUGCACAGCUGAGGAAAAUCAGCAUUUUAAUUGAAAAGGUGGUUUUAGUUAAUGUUUCUUUGAUAUAAAACACUUUGUCAAGAAUCCUGCAGUGCUCCAAGAUCUUGGUUAUUCCAAAACACUUCGACUUGUUGACAAACAUAUUUUUUUGUGUUCUUUUUUCUUAUGUGGGAUUCUUUUUAUUUUAAAUGCGGGACUGCUUAUUCUGGAACAAAUUUCUUUUAUCUGAGAUUUAAUUUUUUGUUCGUUUCUAUCUGUUUCAUUUAGGCUAAAAUUAAUAAGAACCAUGAAGUCCUAGAGAUUGGCUGUGGUUGGGGCAGCUUCGCUAUUGAAGUCGUCAAACAAACUGGUUGUAGAUACACUGGCAUCACUUUGUCUGAGGAACAAUUGAAAUUUGCCGAAAAAAAAGUGAAAGAUGCGGGCCUUCAGGUAUCAAACUAAAUAAUUAAUUUUCCAUUAGUAACAGCUCUCAGAAUUCAACUGAUAGAAGGAUUAUGAGAUUAAUAUAGACUCACUCACUGGAUUAUUGUAAUUUCAAUCAUAUAAUUGCAUGAUACCAGGACUACAUCAAGUUCCUGUUGUGUGACUACCGCAAACUGCCUCCAAACUCCACUUAUGACAGAGUCAUUUCUUGGUGAGUAUUGUCCCCGUUAAAUGUCAUCUAGGCAAUUCAAAUUACUGCCAAACAUACCUUGAUGUGUGGUGAAUUUAAUUUGCAGUGAGAUGCUAGAACACGUCGGCCACAAAUUUAUGGAGGAAUUCUUUGGUUGCUGUGAAUCUCUCCUAGCAGAAAAAGGACUUCUUGUUCUACAGGUAACAUCCAAUAUAUUAAUGUUACUGACCAUUCUCCACUUUGUUGGUUUGCAAGGUGGGAAAUUUGGUUGCCUAGCUACCUAACACUGCUAUGUUAAACUACAUUUAAAUCUUAUAAAUGUAAACAUCCAAUAUAAUAUAUAAGCUAAUGGUUUUGGGUGGUUGAUUUCUUUAGUUCACAUCAUUACCGGAUGAGCGUUAUGAUAAGUACAGGCAAAGCUCAGACUUCAUAAAUGAAUAUAUAUUUCCUGGUGCUUGUAUACCUUCAUUAAGUAGGGUAACAUCAGCCAUGGCUACUUCUUCAAAACUCAGGUAUAUAAUAUAUGACAUAAUUUUAUAGUCAGUAUUAUAUAACUGUAGUGCUUGUUGUUUUCACUUAUGGGCUUAUGGCCGGAACUUCUGUUACUGCAGUGUGGAACACUUGGAAAACAUUGGAAUUCAUUAUUAUCCAACGCUAAAAUGUUGGAAAAAAAUUUUCUUGGAAAACCAGAAGUAAGAGAUUGAUAUUCUUUCAAGUUCAAUUGUUUACAGAAGGCUAUGAUGUAAAAUUGUUAUACAUGUUGUUGAUGCUAUUGGUGGUGCAUUGUCUUUUGUGUUUAUAGCGAAAUACUAGCUCUUGGAUUCGAUGAAGAGUUCAUCCGGACAUGGGAGUAUUAUUUUGAUUAUUGUGCGGCAGGAUUCAACUCAUGCACACUUGGAAAUUACCAGGUUCAUUUCUUGCUUCUAACAACCUUACAUGUUCAUUACUAAUCAAAAUUGGUAAUUCCUGUGUUGUAUAUAUAUGUACCAAUUUUCUGUAAUUGACUAACGUACGGUUAACAAAUAGUCAUAUACCGGCUCUUGCAGAUUGUGUUUUCUCGUCCUGGUAAUGUUCCUGUAUUAGGCAACCCCUUCAAAGGCUUCCCUUCAGCAUAUUGAUUGUGUUGUCAAGUCCAUCUUCAGGACAAACUGUUGCUGAUUAAGAAAUGGUGCUAGAAAGUUAUUUUGUGUUAUGUUUGAUUGAAUAAGCCUUAUCACAUGAAAAGGUUUUGUCUUCAAUGUAAUUUGCUUUACCAUAUCACAGUCUCCUUGUAACAUAAUUCCCUUCUUUGAAAUAAAAAGUUUGAUAAUCUAGACAAUAUAUUUUGCAGAUUUUCCUUAAUUUUUUGCUAAUUAACAACCGUAGGUUUCUUGAACUGUAAGAAACUGCAGAUGCGAACUCCUAGUUUCCAGCAGUUCAAGAGUACAAAACCUUAUUAAGAAAAUUAAAAAUGGAGUUUUACACAUUGCAUGUUCAAAUGACAGCAUCACAAACCCUAAUCUCUAUAUGUGUUAACUUAUAUAUUUGUUUGAAGAAUGGUGCCGCUCUGUUGAGACUAUAUAUACUCCACAUGUGAAAAACUAGACUUAUUUGUGGAUUUAGGAGGAUUUGAGCCACUCGAUUCAUUACUAAUUUAUUUUAGAUGUGAACUAUAUAUUACUAUAUCUGCCCCUUGCACAUAUAGCUAUUGUACAGAUGCUAUAUAGUUGAUGUAUACCAAGUCCAACAUAGCUAUAGCAUAUUGCAAUUUGAAUUCAUGAACAUGCAUCAUAUAUUCACAAAUCCAUAAUAAUUAAAUUAGAUCGUGUUAUGUUACAUUUCACUAACUUGACAAAUGUUCAGUCCCACACAAAACAGAUCGAUACAUAUCAGUAGUCAGAAUAUGUAUUAAGAAACAAGCUAGGUAGCAUAGGAUUGGUUUACUAAACAAUUAACACUAGCCACCGUAAAAGAUUACAAUUAUCAUUACUUUAAAAGGAACACAAGCCACCAUCAAUAAUUCAAAUGAACAAAAAUUAACAAAUGCAAUUCCUUUGUCUUUGGUUAGGGUGUUAUUGUGCAACGGAGCUGUAUAAAUAAUGGUACAGCUAAUAAUGCAGAGAGAGAGAGAGAGAGAGAGAGAGAGAGAGAGAGAGAGAGAGAGAGAGAGAGAGAGANNNNNNNNNNNNNNNNNNNNGAGAGAGAGAGAUGGCAGCAGAUGAAGUAUGUCCUAUGAAAGGUGGGGAUGGCCCCAAUAGCUAUGCCAAGAACUCCACAUACCAGGUUCUUGAACGCUAACCUUUACUAGCUACGUAUAGAGUGAUAUCAUAAUAAUCAUCUCUGCUUCAAAUAAAUUAACUUCUUGUAUCGAGUUGUAGGAAAUUAUUGAUAAAAUGACCAUCAACUAAAUGCAACAUUCAAAUUUGCAGAAAGCAGCGGUGGAUGCUGCAAAAGAACUUGUAAGCAAGGCAAUUGCAGAAAAUCUUGACCUAGAAUUCUUGUUAGCUUCCAGCAGUACUUUUCAUAUUGCGGAUUUGGGUUGCUCUAUUGGACCAAAUACAUUUUGGGCAGUUGACAACAUUCUUGAAGCUGUGAAAUUGAAAAUUCAAGGGAUGAAAAAGUCUCCCAUGACCCUUGAAUUUCAAGUUUUCUUCAAUGAUCAUGCCCCUAAUGACUUCAACAUGCUCUUCAAAUCACUCCCUAUGAAUAGGCAAUAUUAUGCUGCUGGUGUGCCAGGUUCGUUCUAUGGUCGCAUUUUUCCUAAAAAUUCAUUUCACUUUGUUCACUCUCUACUGCCAUUCACUGGCUCUCUAGAGUGCCAAAAGCUGUAGUGGACAGAACCUCUCCUGCUUGGAAUAAAGGAAAAAUCCAAUUCUCUUAUUCCUCGGAUGAAGUUAUAAGGGCUUUUGAAGCUCAAUUUGCUGAGGACAUGGAGUGCUUCCUGAAUGCGAGGGCACAUGAAAUUGUGCAUGGAGGACUCAUGGCACUUAUUGUUCCAGGCCGACCCGAUGGUACCCCUCAUUCAAAAUCUUCACUGAAUGUGAUCUAUCACAUUUUAGGAUCUUGCCUCAUGGAAAUGGCAAGGAAGGUAAGCAAUUAACAAGUUCUCUAUCUCGAGGUUAAUUUGAUUUGUUUUAGGGUAUGCCAGAUCAUAUCUAUUUGUUUUCUGCAGGGAGUAGUUAGUGAAGAGAAAGCGGAUGGAUUUAACAUACCAAUGUACUACAUGUCUCCUCAAGAACUGAAAGCUACUGUAGAACUAAAUGGAAGUUUCACUAUAGAGUGUAUGGAAAACUUACCUCGUCUCUCCACAAUUGACGAUGUCACUGAAAGUGCCGAACUCGUUGCAUCUCAUGUUAGAGCUGUCACGGAGGGUCUCUUCCAGCAGCAAUUCGGAGACGAAAUCUUAGAUGAGCUCUAUGACUUGUAUCUUACCAAACUCGAAGAGCAGCCUUCCAUCUUUGACCCAACAAAGGCUAUUAACUUUCUUCUUGUGCUUAAACGCCAAGGCAAAUUGAUUUGAUCGAACAAGCUGUUUUGGAAUCAAUAUAUCGUUAAACGAUUUUUAAGUACUUAAUUCAUUGUCCAAAUUGCCAUCCCCUUGUAACAUUAUUCCUUUUUCUUAAAAUAUUAAUCCUAAUUAAGAAAGAGCAAGUAAAUCGCUAGGAACUUUUAGUCAAUAGGUGAUUGUGAGUACGUAACUUAAUUGGGCCAGUUAUUUACCUUAUAAAAUUAUGCAUGGUAUUGAACAAACAUUAAUAUGACACUAGAAUUACUAUACAUGUCACUAAAAGGGCAAAGGCAAAAUCAAAGCGAGGCAAAAUCUGAUUCAUACAGUUCUAGGGAAUAGUAUACUGCUAAUCAAGCUAGCUCAUAACACAUGCAUGUUCUUGCAUCCACAAGAGUUGAUCUCACUUGCAAAGGUCUAUAGUAAAUGAAAAAGAAAAAAAUUGACUCAGCAAUAAGCAAUUGCUUCCUUGUUGAUGGAAGCUUCACACAAGUCUUCUCCUUAUAGUAUAAUAUAAUGCUUCAGCUGGUUCAUAUAUUGCAUACCUGAUCGAUCUGGUUUUGGAUCGAUCACCUUCAAUAUUAAGCAUCUUGUCAAAUCAAAUAAGCUGUAGAUGGAUUCAUUAGUGGAAGGUGUUACCUACAAGGUUGCAACCGUUAUGCCCUUGGCUGCUGGCUUCCUUACCUUUGUGGCUGUGGAGUGCUUUGUUGAUCAAUUGGUCGCUCCAAUCAAAUUCACAGUUGGGCAGUACUUGGCCAAGUACCUUCUUGCCUGCAGUGGCCCUAUGGUCACCAAAUACUUGAACAUCUAGCUUGCUUACAUUCUCAGCUACAAGACCAACAUCGAGAAUCUGUUGAAGCAAGUGAAGAAGCUCAAGGCCGCAAGAGACAUGGUGCGGUGCGCCAAGCUGCCGAAGACGCCAAACAGAGGGGCCAAGUUGCAAUCAGAGCUGAAGUUGAGAAAUGGCUGACCAGUGUGGACAAGCUCACCGAAGAGGUGACCAAAUUCUUCGAGUACAAAGGUGAUGCCAACGACGGCUGGUUUCGUUGGUUCUAUGGUUUGUUGAUGUCGCGAUACCAGUUGAGCAAGAAGGCAAACAAGAUGAUAGAGCGUCUUGUUCAACUCCAGGCCGAUGGAGCCUUUCUAAUGAAUUAGUUAGUAACUUAGUAUAAGUUGCUUGUGAUUUUAACUUGUUUCUUCAGCACUUGUAUGUUUUGUAACAAUUGAAUGAUGUCUCUGUGUUUAUGAAAUAAUUUGCGUAUUGAUCGAUUUAAAAAAAAAAGAAGAAGAAGAAAAUAUCAUACAAGUUUGAUCUCCAUUAAUGGAGAUUAGGGCUUUGCCUUUCUCAUAAUUUUUUGCCAAAGGCUUUCUUUGAAUUUUCCUGAUGAAAUGCCAAUACUCCAUCUUAUGAGCAAGCACUCUCCUAACCAUUUAAUUUUUUCCAUUAUUGUCUUGUAUGCCUGCUCAAACAAUCUAAAAUCAUGAACUGCUGAAGUCGAUCGAGAUCUCAAUGCCCUUAAUGCAUGGCAGCCUUCCACUAGGCUCAGCUCAGCUUUGAUACUUCAUACUUGAAGGCACAUACUAAUGAUACUAAACAGCUCAUUUCUAUUUUCAGGUGUCUAGGCCUAAGCCCAAGGAUGAAGCAUUAGUUUUUCAAUUUUGAUAAUAAUAAUUGCAAAGUGCAAUGCUAAUUAGUCCUAAAUCUUUAAUUAGCUAGAGCAUUGACAUUUGUAGGAGGAACAAGGAUGAGACAAGAGCAGCAGAGUCUGAAACCCAAUCGGACUACAAAGUUGGAAGAGUAUUGAACUACUGAUCUAGCUUCCAAUGACCUGUCCUUGACAAUAUUUUACUUGGAACGUAUCCCAUCUGCUAGCUAGAUCGAAGCCAAAAUUCAAAUGAGUCGAACACUUGACAAUUGGCAUGAUUAUUAUAUCAGCCAAAGGGUCCUGCAAAUUAAUAACCAGAAACAUGCAUGCAUGUGGAGUUUUACACAAGACAACUAGACAAGGAUGGUGAAACCCCCAAUGAAAUGCAGAAAAAUUUGACAUCUCUAGCAGGGUUUCUGGUUUAAUUGCAAUUUUAAAGUUCCAGUAGGCUAUUGCAAUUGCAUUCAUUUAAGAAUGGGAUCCUUAAGAUCGAUGAGGAGGCAAAUGCAAACGACGGAUCCCUUAAUGGAUUCUCACUUAAUUUGGAGUUGAAACUUGUCGUAUUGCAUAGGAUGCCAAAUUUCCAAUGGGGAUAUCUUCUAAACUAGUUCCAAUUGGGGUGAGGUAGCCUAUUCCAAGACCGAGCAUUACUAUAAGGCCUCCUUGCAUAGAUCGAUAAUGCAAACUAAGAGUUCAAGCUUCUGUCAUGUUCCACAUAUCCAAACACAUAAACAUGAAAAACUCAGACCCAAUCAACAUUUCAUAAUUAAGAUACAAUCCGUAACUUAUUGCUUUGGUUGCUAUAAAAUAUCCAAGAUCUCAUUUCUAGUCUUUACCAUACUUGUUUUGUUUCUAUUAUUAAAAUUCAACAUUCAACAUCCACCUGCUUAAAAUUUUCAAUGGGGAAAGCAACAGUUUUGUAUAAGCCUAAUAAUGCACCGAAAUGAAACCAAAAAAGUCUCCAUCUUCAGAAAACUAUGAGCAAACCAGAUUUUGUCGACUUGCAGCUUAGCCAUGGUCAUCCUCUUACUUAGGGACCAUAAAGAAAUGGACAAAGGCUCUUCCAGUCAAUUUCAUAUCAGCAAUGCCCGCCGCUCUUUAUUUUUUUGAUACAAGUUGUAGAAAAAGAAGGCUAAACUGAAAUAUAUCGACAUUGAUGUAAAAAUCCCACACAAAUUUAAAAGAGAAAUUACACACUGAUCUGUAUAGUCUCCUUUUUCCUAAUUUCUAUACCUAUUUCAGGCGGUUUCAAAAAAAAAAAAAGAAGAAGAAGAAGAAGUACAUGUAUGCAUUCGUCUACGAUCUUCCAUUGGUUUGGUUAUGGCCAUUGGUGACACCAUUUCGUGCCAUGGCCAUUUCAGUCUCAGCAGCUUUAUCUGCCUCCUCUCGGAACUUCUUGUAUAUAUCACUCUGGUAAAACUUCCUUGUCCUCAUCACUAAAAUCAAUGAAACCAAUGCCCCAAAAAAUGUGGCAGCUGUGAUUAUAAUGAAGGACAACUUGAAGCACUCUCCACCAAGACAAGUCAACUCCUCGUCUUUAUUCCUCUCGAGCCCUUUGGCCACCAAUUGCUUCAUCGCCUCCUUAUCGUAUACAUGACCGGUGAGUUUCACGUUGAGCAAGUACAAGCCGACGGGACUCGCGGCUGAACCAAAAUUGUACAAAGUCGAGUAGUACUUGAGCCCGAAGAGCUCAGAAAUUAUGGCGAAGAGCAAAGGCCAUUGAGCGCCGAAGCAAAACCCUAUUAUGACCGAGGCUAGGUAGAGACCAUUUUUAACAUUGAAGGCAAUGAGGAGGUGACCAAAGCAAGAGACAAAGAGGGUUAGGGUUAGAAUGAGAGGACGAGGGAACUUGUAUCGUUUUAGUAAAAAUUCCGAGACGAAUCCGGCGACGACUCUACCGAGAUAAUUCCAUAUGCUGACCAGGCCGACGAAAGUUUUCCUGCUGCGUGUGGGAUAUCCCAACGAAGUGCCAAUCUGACCCAAGUUGUCAAUUGCUGUCAAUGUGCCCCCAACACCACAUAUGCACGCCAUGAAUAGUAUGAGCAUGUCAAUGCUGAAUAGGGCUUGAAGAAUAGUGUAGUCUUCUCCUCUAUUUGGUGGCCUAAAACAAGUUUUCCAACAAGAUUGGCUAGGUUGUUCCUCUGUGGACUCAGGAGUUUCAUAUGUGACCGGCUCCUUUGACACCUCUAAUUGUUCUUCCGUGGGAACGACUGGCUUUUCCGUCACUAUUUUGACGUCACCAUUCAUCUCGAGCUGUUUUCUCUCCCAAAGCUUGUACUCCUCGAUUACAACAACAACAACGGGAAGAGCGAGCAAGAAGAGCACCAUCGCCGUGCUGGCGCCGUACUCUUGUUGAGUAAAGUUCACCCUAUUCUCUACUAUGAUCAUGAUCAUCAGAAAUCCGGCGAGGCCGAGAGAGAUGUACAACAUGUUGUAGAACACCUGGACCUCGUUGCUUUGUCUAAUCACCUUCAUGAUCCUAAUAGUCCUCAGAAAAGCGAACGAGAUCGCCGCCGGAAGCCACCCGAUGAGCAGAAUCAAGGCCCUGGUGUCGUUGUAGUAGAAAGCAAAGUACAUCUGCGUGAUGAUAGCGCCACUGAGGCCGACGUAGCCCUUGAGAAGCCCUAAAACGACGCCGCGGCUCUCGGGGAAGUUCUUGACGCAGGUGACCAGCGAGCCAGUGUUGGCGAACGACUGAGAAUUGGCGCCGAUGCAAAUGUACAAGCACAUCUGCCAGACUUUUGGUCUCGCGAUUUUUUUGGUGACGGAGAGCCAGAUCAUUAGGUAUCCUAAGAAGUUGAGGACGGCGCCGACCAGCAGGACCACCCACGGCGGCGUGACCUCGUUGAGGAGGCCGGAGAGGAUGCCGACGUUGGAUCCAAAAUCUUUGAAGAAGCUGAGGAGGUUGAGUGUAGAUUGGUCGUAGGCUAGAGCUGUCUUGAUGUCGGGAGAGUAGAGGCCGAACAUGUAGGUGGCGCCGGCGGCGGACAUGAUUAAGAGACAUGCAAAGACCAUGAACCACCGGCCGUUGAGGACCUGGAGGGUCAGGCUUUUGGUGUCGGCCCAUCCUCGAGGACCGGAACCCGCCAUGGCUGGAUUGAUAUAUGUAUCUAGCUAGCUAGGUUGAACCAGAGAGAGCUGUAAGCAAACUUUGGUGUGGAGUAGAGAGAAAUGUAGGAGGAAUAUAUAGAGGAAGUCACACAAAGAGAGCAAGUGACAGAGAAAGAAGAAGAUAUAGUGUCACACCAAGACUUGGUUGACUACGUUUAUAAAUGGAGUAAAUGGGAGGAGUAAAUAACUGAGGAACAAGAUAGGAACGAUAAUCCGAUCCCCUAAUAUAUAUUUCAUCUUAUCCAGAGGAAAACUAAUGUGGGGAAAUUAAAGAGUGAAUUUCUUUAAUUUGGAAUCUUCAGCUUCAGCUGACAGUUAAGUGUUCCCUGCUCAUAUUACGCCACCAUUUUGGACAAAGUCUACUAUACGUACUUAUCCAAAAUGAAUAAAUAGAGAUUAAUUUUUUUUUUUUAAAAAGACGGAUAAAUAUCCUAGCACCAAAAUUUUGAUUAAAUAAAUAUUUAGAUACUUUCUUUCUAAAGAGCAUGUGCGGGUAUUUUUUUUAUAUUAAUAUUAUGGCUACUAUCAAUAUGUAAUAUUUCAUUUUUAUUACCUAAUAAAUAAAGUUCAUUAAUGUCAUUGAUUCACCCUUUAAAAUCUAAAAGGAAAGCUUCUUGAGUCUUCUUCUCUUGUGGAGGUUCUGGUAACCUAUAAAAGGAAAGCUGGACGUCCGAUUGGAAGUAAGAAGCCGCGACAAAACAAUAAGUCUGUCAUACCUCCGCAAAGCAUUCCUGUCACUUGGGAGGUUGGUACGUGCUCUUCUGAUAAGGGCAAAGGUAAGGCUUGAGCUGUUGGGUGUCCAAAUCCGGGGUGCCCAAAGUAGUUGGGCUUGGGUUCUUUUUGGGCCUGUGCUCGAUCCUUUGGGCCCCUAGGUUUGUUUGGUCCCGCAGUUUACCUAGCAUCUCAAUUUUAAUUUUUGAUAUUUAAUUCUUGGUAACUCUAGUUGUACACUAAUUGCGGUCUCUAAGCGACUAGUUUUACUUCCAAUGAAAGUUAGAUAGACACUUUGAAAUUCGGGUGUGUACGUAGGCAUAAUAAGUGAGCUUAUAUAUAUGCAGUGAGGGCUACCUAUCAGUUAGUCUGUUAGCUUGGGUUGAAUUCAAUAUUUGGCACAAGACGUUAGUUGAUGUAAGUGUUUUUUUGCCGUGGAUAAAUAAUAAAAUUAUUUAUUUAAAAAAAAAUCUAAAAGGAAAUAGAAAGGGUAGAAUUGAUAAUGCAAUAUUAUGAUUUAGAAAAAUAUAUUAUAUGGAAUUGAAAAUAAAUAUUUUUAUUUAUAUGACAUAAUAUAUAAGAUUAAAGCCACAAAUUUUAGGUCUCACCCCCUCAUAAUAUCAACGCCCUUAUUAUGUAUGACUCAAUAACUUAUUACUUUCUCACCUUUUUUUUUUCUUUGAUACGUACGUAGUUUUCUUGAAUUUCUUCCAAUACAUCAACAUGAUUAAUUCGUUUUUAUUGUUUUGGAUGAAGGUUUAACCAAGAUAACUACAAAGCCUAAGGAGCUGGGGUCCAUGCAUCUCGCCUUAUUCUAAAGGGUAGGAAGUGGCUGUUGAAGAUGCUCGAGGAGGAUGGUUUGCUAGAGGAGGUAAAUCCCUCUACUGAUUCUUCAGAAGCAAUGGAAGUGGUUGGCAAAGAGGUAACUCUGCCUCCAAAGAAGAAGCUUUCAACUGAAGUUGCUACAGUACAUGGAGAUGAAAAAGGCGGUAGUUAAAGUGGUGAACUCCACUUCGAUUAUUACAUCUGCUUGAUCGGGAGAUCGACAAGAAAAAUAAGAAUUAUGUUGACACAGUUUAUAACACUUCGGAGUUUUUAAUCUCUUUGUUUUUGGUUUUAUCUUCGUAGAAGGUGAGUGUAUUUGGAUUUAGCUAGGAUAGUUUGUGUGAGAAGCGUAUUAUGGGCAUGUCGUUAUUUGUAUUGUUUAUUGAGAUUCAUUAAUGAAUAACCUCUCUUUACCAAAAAAAAAAAAAAACGUCACAACAAUGGAAUCACGAGCGAGUUAAUUGGAGCAUCAGAUCGUACUUUUCUAUCAUCUAUGAUCACUCACAAUAUCAAAUUCCACAACGUUGAAAUUUCAUAAGAAAUGGGAACUUGUAGUACGUGUCUCUACGUACUUGCCUCAUAUGGUUACUUGCCCCUACUUGCUUUCUCUCAACAAAUAUUGUCAUACUAGUCCUCUCUUUUUUCUUUUUUUUUAUCACGUUUGAAUAUCCAGCAUUUAACCGUCCAAAAAUAAAAAUAAUCUUAAAAAUUUAUUAAGUACGUUUUAUCUAAAUUAAGUGUCUUUCUAGUAACUUUCGUUGAUGAUGAGAUUGAAUAUUAACAUGCACUCUAUGAUCACAUCUUGCUGAUUCAAGUGAAAAAUUUAGUAAAUCAACAAUCUGUUCGAUCGGUUAUAAUUAGUACUACAUAAAACAACAGUGAUUGAUUCGAUAAUAAAUCCCCUUAUCUUGAUGCCUUAUACAUAAGAAAUAAUUGGAGUAGUAGUUUAAUAUAUGAAUUCGUCAAUGUAGGUGCUGGAUAUUUCUCUAGAGCAGUUCGCAAAUGGUGAUGCAUGCUUGACGCGGAGCUAGCUCGAUCGCAAGUAGCUGGGAACACAAUACUGGAAUUUUCAAAGUCAUGCAGUAGCUUUGACUAUGAAGAUCAUGACUGAUGGAUCCGAUCGCCCCUCAUAAUAUCAGCAAUUUAUUCAUUUGUGUAAUACAAAGUCGGUCGGAAAUGUCUGGUACAAGAGCAAUCAAUAGCUUUGAGGAAAUAGUACAUCUUCAAAUAUGUGGCUAAGCCCUGCCCAUUGAUUUCUGAUCGAUUGUUCAUACGGAUGUCGAUCGAUGACAAUAUGUUGAGUGGCUAUAUAUUAAUUAGUGUUGUCUUGUUAAUUACCAAUUUUGUUCUUCUUCAAAUCAUCGUAAGAUAAAGUAUCUCGCUGGAUCAUUAUCGACAAAAUAUAAAGUCUUUAAUAUAUAAAGAGUAUUAGUUUGUUAAAUCUAUAUGUCAGUUCAAAUAUUGGUGAACAACAACAGAUCGACAACUAGAUCAUGAUCGAUCACGCUAGUUGGAUAUCAGAGUUUCGAAUGUGUGAUUCCCUUAAUUAAAAUCUUGCGAGAGUGCAAAGUACCUGAAACUCUGGUCACAUUUGUUUCGCCUUCCUUUCAUUCUUUCCAUCGUUCAUACAUUAAUCUUAUCAAUUUGUGCUCCACUACCCAACAAACAAUACAGCCUUCGUGUUUGUGUGCCUGGUAAUAUAUAAUGAAGAACUACAAUGCAUGUAUACACGGAUAUCGGAACUCCAAAUGAUCCUAAAUGAUUAAUUUUUUGCCAUCAUUUGUAAGGUCUUUAUCAUAUCGUGCGUGAUUGAAAGUCGUAUAUAUUCCCCCAAUUAGGGUUUGGAGUUAGCAAUUUAAAUUUAAAGAAAGAACAUUAGUUUGCAUCAAUACCAUUUAGUCUAGUGGUAUUAGUCUUCUAUUUGUAAGUAUGAGGUGCUAGACUCAUUGUAGCAUUUCAGUUAUUUGUUUGAUAAAAGAAAAAACAUUAGUUAAUUAAUCUAUAAUUAAUUUGGAGUUGAUUAAUCAAGAAUAAUUCAUGAUUUUAAUAAAUAAAUAUUUAAAUUCCUCUCUAACUUUAUGUAUCAAAUUUGAACGUUGGGAUAUGCCAUCACCUUGCUUGUACCAAACAAUCUUCUAUCUUAGUUUUAGUCAUUGCCAAACUCUGUCAGGUGUUAAUAAGGGAAUCAGAUCCUACGCCAUUCCCAUAUUAUAACCUUGAUCUGAUCAAAAACUCAAAUGUGAUCCAUUUUAAUAUGAAAUUCACACCCUGUCCCAUGUGUAACUCAUAAGUGCUCUUGCAAUAUAUUCGUGAAAAAUAACGACUUCAUGUUAUAUAUAUAUAUAUUGACCUAUCGCUACCUAGUGUGUAAGUUGUAUAGCAAUUAGCAUUUCAUUCUUUAAUUAUAAAUCAUUAAUUGGUCACUUUCUUCGAAAUUGGCAAUGGCAUUUCUAUUUGCUUAAUUGCUUGCUAUGUGAACUAAUCCUUAUCAUGCAUAGUGUGAUUAGCUAAUUAAAUAAAGAGUGCAUUGUUAAUUACAAUAACUGAUAAGCCAGCUUCAUAAGAAACAAAGUAUGAAUGAUAAGCUUUCAAUCAGUAUCAUUAACGUCUUAAAAGAAUGCGUUAGAUUGGAUUCUUAUGUUUUUGAUAUCGUUUAUUCAAACUUGCUGAAGGGCCAGCCUUUGCCGCACAGAUCGAACUUCUUCUAAUUGUAUUCUAAUUAGUUGAUUAGUCGUCUAUAGAUGUUCAUGUCAAAUUCGUAUAUACCUGAUAUGAACGCUCACAAUUGACCAGUUUGUUUCGUAAUCCAUUUUGUUAAGCUUAUUAGCACACACUCGAGUGAGGCAUCCAAAAUCUAUUUUCUUUAAUUUCCUUGCUCAAGUACGUAGACGAUUUGAUAUACUCCAAAUUACUCCAAUUAGUUUGUAACAGACUGUGGUCAAUGAAAUUCGCGUUUUUGGACAUUUGUAGUGAAAUUUUAGUUUUUUUCAUUCUUAUUUUACCAAACAAUGUGUCAUUCUCAAAUGACUUAUCUAAUAGUACUCACUAAUUGUUAGAUACUAUUGUAUUUGAAAAUACGAUUCUCGAUCAUUCACAAUUUGACAACUCAACAUAUGAACCGUAAGUAUAUACUCUUUUGUACUACUAACCCGACCUCGUUAAAUACUAGUUAUAUACCCGAACACAUGCUUGUAAGUGUGACGACUUUUUCGAUCGGUCCAGUCAGUACGUAGCCCUCAUAAGUUGUCAUUUACGAACAAAGCAUAGUUGAAUAUUGAGCAGACUACCCGUCACCAAUUUCUCAUACCAUAUUUGAUAUAUCCAUCCAUACAAGCCAAACCAGAGAAUUCAUACCGGUGAAAGCUACAACAUUACCUAUUCUAUACAUGGAAUCAUAUAUAGUACUAUUUUCCUCAGUACUCAUUCGUUUGGGGUCAAUGCCGCUGUUCAUACGCAAAGAGCAGCCACACGUAUACUUGCACAGAAACUUUGGAUAGAGGUUUGGUAUUCUUCUCGAGCUUGAUAUGUUGACGAUUCGAAAGAAGCGAAAGAUUUCCUGGUUGCUCUCUGUCUAUUUAUAUAAGAUCAACUCAGCUGGCUAGUCAACUCCCUUGAACAUCCGGCAUUGUAGUUUUCUGUGCUUUUGGAAAUAUGUUGAACUGAGCCACAAAGCGAUUCUGAUCUCUCUGUUUUUCGCCUUCGUAAAGUAGGCAGAGACCAAGUGUUUACACAGUGAAAGGGAAGAAAGAAAAGUCUUAAACCACAUGUUUAUGAUUCUAAUUAACUUAAUCUAUAAUCUUCAAAAUUCUGGAGCUAGACAGAUUCGCUUCCUUGUAUGCAGUUCUUUUGUUUUUGUUUUCCGAUAGUGGGUGUCAUUUCCAGCACUGAAAGGUUCUAGUUGAUGACAUCUUAAUCCAGAUCAUCAGAUUAUGUUUCUUUCAUAGAUAGAACUUAGAAGCUUCAUAUUUGACUUUGGAAAUAGGCCCUAAAAGAGCCUCAAUUUCAGACUUCGCUAGUCUUCUGGUUUUACUUGUAAAGUAGAAAGCUGCUUGAUGCUUUUCUCAGAUUCCUCUCCUAGCCGCAACAGUGACUGGGAAUUUUGACCCAUCUUGGAAUACAGAGCCCCUUGCGAAGCAGCUCCGCUCAUGAGUCCUUUCAUCCAUCUCGAAGACUCAAGAGAGAUAACUAGUCUGAAAAGAUCUAUCAUUAACAAGUUCACAAUCCCAUUGAGACAUUCCACAUGGAACUCAACAAACUUGUAUACUAGCUCUGCGGUAAGAACACGAGGGGAGAUAAUCUGGCCAAACAAUGAGUGUGGACUUUGUUAUGGUUUGGUAUCCCACAGUAGAACCAUCCAGCACGACUGAGUUAAGAAACAAAGUAAUGUUUGGACUCAAAGCACGUACUGCAGAGAGCCACAUAUGUUCCAAUAACUCCGUUUCAUCACAGUAUGCUUACACAAGGUCUAGAGACUUAUAGUUGGGGGUAUAGAAUUUCUACUACCAAAAAGACUAAAGAGAUGAAAAGAUGAACACAAACAAAUACUAAUUUUCAACAACAGGUCUAUUUUUCCAAUUAGAAUUACCCUAAUCUCUCAUGUUCCUUUAUUUCUUUGUCAACAAAAGAAUUAAAGGAUAGAAAGAGAGAGGGUUACAAGUAAUACUCAAACAAGUAACUAGUAAACGAUAGUAAUGCAUAAAAGUCCUCCUACGCAAAUUUACUUUCAACAUCCCACAGCAAGAAUCUAAAAAUCGUACACAUAACAGCUACAAGUUCAAUGAAAACUGACAAUCCCACUUUUAGACAUUAGUAGCGGUCAAAAGAAGAUGGGCGGCCUCCCCUGCUAGGGCGGUCGUAAGGGCCAGCCCUGCUACGGUAACCUCCCUCAUCUCUUGCUGGACCUCCUCUUCCAUAUCUAUCACUGCCACCUCUCACUCCACCAUCCCUGUCAUAGCCUCUGUCUUUUCCAUAGCCAUUUUGGGGGUAACGAUCAGAACCACCAUAUCUGUCACUAGCGAAACGAUCACCAGCUGGGUACCUGGAGAGAAUAAGUGCAGAAAGUACAGCAUAAGUGCAACUGUAUAAUUAAUUUUUUUUUUUCUCCCAUCACAUGUACAUAAAACAAAAUGUUUUAUUUAAGCAUUAAAGAAUAUAAAAGGGGGUCUGAAUGCACGCAACUCAAGUCUAUAAGCUAUAACCAUACAUAACGACAGAAUGGAACAAGUAGUGGAGAAGUAAUUGAUACCUGUCACUGACAUAGCGAUCACGGCUCCCAUAUUUGUCCUCCCUGCUGUCAAAACGAUCCCUAUCUCCAUAGCGCCCUCCAUCAUAACGGUCAUCCAUGUAGCGAUCAUGAUCUCCACCAAAGCGAUCCACACGCCCACCUCCCCCAAACCUAGAAUGUGAAGAGAAUGAACCUCCCCCUCCACCUCUUCCACCACCAGCAGAUGGGCAGUCUCGAGCCCAAUGUCCUGUACGCCCACACUUGAAGCAUUCAUCUUGGCCCACAGAUCUAUCACCACCUCCUCCAUAGCUUCUCCUGCCACCAGAAGAGUAUCCUCCCCCUCCUCCUCCUCCUCUAUAGCCAUGAUCAGAAUCUUCACCUCCCAUCCUGGGUUGGGCUUUGUUCACAGAGAUAGUGCGGGAACCCAAUUCCUGUCCAUGCAUCUCCCGGAUUGCAUCUUCCAUUGCUCGUCGAUCUCCAAAUGUGAUAAAACCAAAACCACGAGGACGCUUUGUAUCUCUUUCCAGCAUGAUCUGCAGAAAUUCUACAUUAGAGUGAUCAUACCCAGCGUCUACAUAAACAAAAAAAUUAGAGUGAUUUCUUCUCAACACAAUGAUACUUGCAAGAUUUGCAAGUUAGACAGAAAGAGCAUCAAACAACAAAAAUUAAGGAUGCAUUGCAUUAGACAUGUAUGACUCCACCACUCGGAAAAUUAAGGAUUCAUUGCAUUAUAAUAUGCAUUAUAAUUGCAUUCUACUAAUUCGAAGUAUCAAUAUGUAUAAUGUGAUACCACUGAACUGACAAAUGUGUUUCAAAGCAUGAUAAAUAAUGAGAAUACAAUUCAUAUAAUAUAUAAAUAGGAUAGAACAUUGCAAGUAGGGCAUGAUCCGGUUUAACUGAGAAUCUGAGAUUAACAAGCAAUUGAAACUAAACCCACACCGUAAACACACAUCUAAGAGAGGACAGGCAUUAUAAAUUAGACCAAUCAAGCAAUGAGUGAUUCAGAAUAUAUUUUAUCGUGCGAGUGACUAACUAAAGAACAAUAAAAUUGGAGACGCAAUAGGGAUUGUACCUAAAAUACGUUUUGCAACAAUCUAACUGGUAAUUAAAAAUGAGUUUAUACUUACUUUCCUUUUAUAAAUAUGGAUAACAGAGCACCAUUUCAUACUGGAAUAUUUCUGAUACUAGAAGAAUCCACAUCUGACAACAGAUGACCACUGACCUCGAAUUCCCACAACAUCAAAUGUACUGGUUCCAGCAUAAACUGUUCCAGCAUAAAUGCAUAUAGUCUCUACGCCCAGAACACUAUCACUUACACCAGCAGUUACAUCGACACCCCAAACAUCUGUCUUGUAGUCACAAAACCAAUAUUCUUCUGGCAAAGCUACACAGAUCAGCCAGAAAAAGGCAGCUCUUGCAGCAGUUGAUCUUUAAACUAUUCAAAAUUAACAACUUAUAAAUACAUCUAGUUACCCACGGCAGACAUCUCUACUCUGCAUACUAUGACCAACGUGUUCCAUAACUACAUGGCUCCAUCAGUCUUUCAACAAGUCAGAAACAGUAACCAAAACAUUCAUAAACAAGCAAGAUACUCUGUCCAAGAUAAUGCUGAUUCUCUUUCCAUCAACUAACCCUGAUAUAGUCAACACCUGAAAUCAUAUUUGUGUUUCUGGCUUUUUUGAUUUUUAGGAAAAUCCUACAAUUUUUAGUACUAUCAAAAAUUCGAACCCUCAGGUAUUAAGGAGUCUUAAAUCAAAGUUUCAACUAUAAAUACGCUAGAAACCAUCGAUAGAUAGUGAAGCAGUGAUGUUGCUGAGCUCAGACUUGUCCACACAAUAUGAUAAUCAAACAGAAUACUCCUUCUGACACUUUCAAAAGUGAAACUGAUCUGAAUGAUGACUCAAAAGACCAACAGACUGCAUUGCAAAAACGUGGUCAUAUGUGAACUUGCCAGACUGACAGUGUUGGAAGCCCCAGUGCUAAUGUCAAAAAAACUCUACAAGGUCUAGAUGAUCUUCAUUCCCCGCUAAACCAGCAUAAAUAGCUUAAUCAUCACAACAAAACAAUAAUAGCAGAUAAUAAGCAGUUCAAACAAAGUUCAAGUGCAAGGCUCAAAAGCAGCCCUAACUUCAAGUGUGCUCCUCAUUAGCAGAUGAGAGGAACCCAUUGUCAGCCAGAAACAGUUUAGAGUCACUAACCCAGACUAACCCCUCAAGCAUGAACUAACUAAAUCUGACACUUUGGAACCUCACCCAAUCAGUCAUCAGAAGUCUACUAUAUCUGAACAAAAAGUUAGCAAGAGACGACAAAAGCUUUGCGAUAUAGUAGCCACUAAGAAUCUGCCCACAUAACAGAUGAUUGAGUUGAAGUAGAUGACCCUCUGAAUUCUAUGAGAGCAGAAACAUGUGACAUGAAGGAGGAGGAGAAAUUAUCCGGCUCAAAGAUCUCUCAGAAGACAGACACAACCUUCACCGUCAUGUUUUGAAUCAAACCAACCAAAAAUAUUGGCAAGCUGAUAGAUAUAUGGGCCUUUGUUCUACUUAGAAAAAUAAAAUAAAAAAACUUCUUGCAGCAAAAGAACCAAAUCACUGGUUCAAGCAACAACCAUCUGAGGCUUCAGCACUCGAUGAAAAGAACCCAAAAACAGAAAGCAUAACUUCAGAGCAAGAAACUUCUCAUAUUUGACAUGUCAUCUGACUUGUCAUUUAGUCGUUUGAUCCUCUAAGCAAUACUUAUGGUCCAACUUCCCAACAUUACCACAGGACUUUCUUGUGGAACUCGCAUCUCUUCCAAGAGAUUAAACCUAAAAUUAGCUGCCUUGAACCAAACUCCACAAAUCGCGAGACCAUCUGCUAAUGUUUCUAUUUCCUGUCUUGAGAUCUGUAGUCCCAGCAGCUAUAAUCUACUACCAAAAACGACACACAGUCUGCAAACUCGAUGCGACCACUUAACAAAAACAGCUCUACGAAAUAUCCAUCAAUGCACGGCAUCAAAAGAUCAUAACUCCACAGAACAAGAAAACAAAAGAGCAUUAAUAUACAAAGAUAACAGCAAAGUAAAAUAAAGUAUCGUACAGAGAAUCAUCAAAACAGUAUCAAACACAUCUAUACAAUCUAUGUAGUGUACUAUAUCCAUACAAUCUCACUGCUCAAGAUCCCGAUACUACAACACCUUGCGUUUUGAACAGUAAAUUCACCAAAAUCAAAUCAAAAUUAAGCAUUUUACACUCCGAAAACCUUUGCAAGUCUCAAAUUUCAUUCCAACUUUAAAACCGAAAAUGUCAAAUUUUCUUUUUUGUUUCACAAAAUAGCACCGAAAUUCUCAAUCAAAGAAUCUAGCAGCAGAUCAAACGAGAGCCUCCAACUGAUUAACACAACCAAUCUUGAACCUUCUUUUACUAAAAUCCCUAAAUCGAACCCCGAAUUUCAGAAAGAAAUUUCAAAACCAGCAAAAAUUUUUCAUAAAGUUUUCAAGCAAAAGCAAAGAAGCUUCAACCUAUAAAGCGCAAGGCACACAAUUACAAGCGUCGGAGAACGAAUUGGGGGUUACCUGCGCUUCAUGGACUUUGCCAAAGCGAGCGAAGGCGCUCUCGAGCUCAUGCUCUGUGACUUCAUAGGCUAAACCUCCGACGAAGAUUCGGUACUCUUCUCUCCCGGCCAUCUCUCUCUUUCUCUCUUUCACUCUGUGUAUUUUGGUUUGUACCCAAACCCUAACCGCUUCGGCUUCUCUUUCUAUUGCCUCAGUCUUGCUUUGAAUUUCUUUUUCCCCUUUUCUUUUUCUAUUUAUUUACUUUGUAAAUUAGGAUAGGCCCCAAUUUUUGAGGUCCUUUUCACUUUAGUCCUCCAACUUUUGUUUUUUUUCUUUAGUGCUCCAAAAUAUUGUAAUUUUGUAGUAAGAGUUGUUAGAUUAGAUUUGAAUGAGACAUACAACUAAAUAUGACUAAUUUAAUGACUCAAUUAUAUAGUUUUAAUACUUCGGAGCACUGUGUAAUGUAAAGAAAAUCUCCAAAGCAACUAUAAAUCCCUCUAGAAUUUUGUGUCUUUUUGUAGAGAAUUGUAGUCUAAUAGUAAUUUUCUCUUCUCCAUCUUUGAUGUCAGGUCAAGUGACAAGUGUCGAGUUCGAAUCUCAGGGCGAAGCAAAGACAAGAAAGAGAAAAAAGAACUGAUCGAUCUUGAUUCAUUAUAGCAUUGGAGGAUGAAACAAUUGCAAAUAGUUACAGCUGUGAAAGAAUUACAUCAAUGGACAUACAUAAUUUACAGGGCUGUACAUGAAAUGGCACAGGUAUCAACAAGUGAUUGAAGUGUGAUCAACUUUCAGGCUUUUCAUCCCUACUUCUAUUGUUCUGAUAAAAGGGGGAGCCUAGUAACACUGCUACCACCACCCCCACCAGUUAGUGAUUUAGAGUUGGUCGAUUUUAUAGAACCGGAUUUUACAGGUUUUGAUGAACUCUUCUUGUUUAUCCUCAUGGGAAGAAUCUGCAACCUCGGAUUGCGCUUAGUGCCUGAAUUUUCAGCUGCCAACUGAUAACUUUCCACCAGUUCCAGCUGUCUAGCAAUUAUUUCGGAGCAUCUUGGAAGGAGCUCUACUGCCUCUCCACCAGGAAUUACAAUAUACUCGAUUGCAAGUCGAACCUCCUGACACAAACAAAAGGAAAUAUGUGGUACCAUUAAGCAGAUGAUAUAUGCUGACAGAUUCAAAAUCAGAAAUACUGAAAGCAAAUGUGGAGUUGCAUAGCGUACAACAGAGAGGACAAUUUCUCAGAAACUGCCGGUAGAGGUAUCCAUAGAAAAUACGUGGGAUGGGAAAGGAAAUGCACCUCCAAUGCAUCGAUCUCUUCUAAAGAUGGUUUUCUUUUGGGUGCAUCAUCUUCAAUUUCAAUGUCAAAGGAAUUAUUGACAAGCUGCUUUGGCAAAGAGCCAACUGAUUCCAUUUCAAGAAUCAUACGAACUGCCUUCACGAUUUGAGCCAUGGUAUUUGACUGCAAGAUAAACAUCAAAUAUGUGAGUGAGCCCCAGCAAGAUUACAGGCAUAUACAGAUACAAUACAUAGACACAGAAAGUCUAAACGGACAUUACCUUCAUGACAAAUACAGGCAACUGGUGAAAUUUUGCUACACUACGGAUCCAUGGGUUUUGCUUCAUUUCAGCACUUGAUGCUAUAAUUGCAUCUGCUGUUCCAAUAUCAUCAGAUACCUCAAUUUCAUCCUCAAGCCCCAUUACCUUUGCUACUUGCAGUAGGUCAGCUUCAAGGAUCUGCAAACAAACAAAAAUGAAGGGUCAAUUGAGAUCAUCUGCCUAGUCAGCAACUAUUGACAAUACAAGUUCUUAGGGGUUUUGGUCAAAUUACAUCCUUCAUGGGUGUAGAUUUCCAAUUAAAGCAGAAAGUGAACCAUGUGGAAACCAAGUAUUUUACCUUGUAUGUAUAUAUACACACUGGUGAACUUCUCUUCUUCGCAGAUUUAUCACUGCUCAAUCUUCUAGACACAUUGGGUGGAGGAUCUAGAUCUUCCUCGUCAGACUCCAAAACACUAGCAACUAUGUCUGUAGUAACAACAAAAUCUGAUGCUUUCAGAUAGUUGUGUUCAGAGAUUUGAGUAGGCAUGCAAGAGUCAUCAGCAUCAGCAUCAAUACGACGAACUUCAAACAAAGGAGAUUUCCCUAUAAGCCAGAAACCUUCAUAUCAGAUUAGGUGUUCCCUUACAACUACUCAAGUAAUAAGUACAGAUUCUAAAGGAGAAAAUGUGAAGUACCAGCUAGUAUAGCAUCAACUGUUGCAUCUAAUCUGUGAUGAACACGAAAUUCUGUUUUAGAUAUGAUCUCAACAGCACAUGUAAAUGUAGGAGGCCCCUUUCUUUCAAGAAUUGUCUUUUGAACUUUCCUCUUUCUCGCUUCUUCAUCUCCCAGGGUCACACUCUGCAAUUUACAUGAAGAAUUCCUUUAAUCUAUCAACAUUUCUUAUCCGGGAACUGCUUAAAUGGUAAUACCAAUAAUGAAUGAUCAUUGCACUGGAAAGGAUAAUUCAUACAAUAUGGCACCUUGCAGAAUUAAUGCCACUUUGUAUACCCUCUUUUAUUUGGUUAAUCACUUUGUACACUUACAAAAUGAUAAACUUGAUGCAUACCAGAAACACAAUUGAAAAAUGUAUAUAACUCCAAUUUGAAUGAAUAUAGAGUGGAUGGCAUUGUACCUCUAUGCCACCAACAAGGAUUUGUAAAGAAGGAUUCUUUAUGAUGUUGUCUAUUGUCAUUCCAUGUGCAGUUCCAACUAGUUGAACUCCUCUUUGGGCAAUAGUGCUGGCAGCCAAUGCUUCAAGCUCUGUCCCAAUUUCAUCUAUUAUAAUGGUUUGAGGCAUAUGAUUUUCAACUGCUUCAAUCAUAAUCUGCACAAAAGGAAAGGGCAAAAGAGAUUAUACAACCAAAUGAGUUGCAAAAGCGUAAUACUACUGGGGAACUAAAGCAACAGUGACAGAAAUGAGCCCUAUAAUCAAUGUCAACACUCACAUUAUGCUGCAUGUUGACAUUAGGAACUUGCAUCCUCCUUGCACGGCCUAUUCCUGCAUGCGGAACAUCUCCAUCUCCUCCAAUCUCAUUAGAUGUAUCCACUAUUACCACACGCUUCAUAUGCUCAUCUGCCAACAUUCUAGCAAUUUCUCUGCACCAACAACACAUCCAAACAAAAUUCAGAACAUCUUCGCUCUUUGAUUCCAGGUCACAGUAGGAAAACAUCAAAGUAGUACAUAUACCUGAUCAAGGUCGUCUUGCCAACUCCGGGAGGUCCUAUCACCAAGAUUGAACCUCCACCCUCAACCAAGUCGCGGAUGACCUCGGCACUCCCUGACACCGCUCUCCCCACCCGGCAAGUAAGUCCAAUGAUUUGCAGCUUUCGGUUUCGAAUAGCACUAAUACGAUGUAACGAGUUAUUAAUUCCAGAACGGUUAUCAUCCGAAAACUCACUAACCUGCAAACAAAACAAAAUUUCCAAAAUCGAAUAAGAAAACAUACCAAAAAAAAUAGUUCCAUCUUCAUCAAUCAACUUCUAAGUAAGCAUAUAAAAAGUUGCAGUCUUGUUUAAAUUGUUUAAAUAAAGUGAUUAGUUACCUACUAAAGAAUUAAACCAAUAAUUAACACCGCUAACCACCAAAAUGGCUUAAUUACUAUUUCUAGAGAACAAUUGUCACAGUCUUUUAUCACCUUAGAAACAGCGAGCCGGAGAUCUUCAUGGCUGACCGGAGUCUCCGAGAUCACCCAAUCACCGGUCGGAAACCUCGCGAUCGGAGGCCGCCCCAAAUCCAUCACAACCUCAAUGAGCUUCCCGAUCUCCUCAUGCCUGUACAGCUCGCUCUUCAUCCUCUCCGGCAGCAGCUCCAGAAACAUCUCCAUCUCCGUCCGCGACGUGGACGCCGAGCUCCCGGAACUCGAAGACGGAGAGUUACCGGAGAAGAACCGAUCCGAGGGGCGGCGAAUCUCCGGCGCCGGCGAGGUGGAGGAGUGUCGGGACGAAGCGAUUGACUUGUGCGCGCCACGUGUCCGACGAAAUGAGGAGGAGAGUUUGGAGGUGUGGAGAUAGCAGAGGGUGGAGAUGGGGAUUUGGUUGGCCGAGUGCCAUGAGGUCUGGAGAUCGAGUAGCACCAAUUGCGAGCUCAGAGCUCUCAUUCUGUUACAGACUGGGAUUUUGCUUUGAUAAUUUUUUUUUUUUUUUUUUAAGCUAACGAUCGGCGAGAAGAUUCGGGGGUAUCUCCACUGGGAUUGGAGCAUAUUUUGGAGGGAAGAUGGGGCCCACUAACCAAAGAAGUUCAUACACGUGGGGGCUGCUUCAACAGCCACACAAUUUUCCUCACCCUCCUUUUCAUUUUCAGACAAAAUAGAAUUCUCGAAAAUUUGUAUUUCUCUGUUCCUUGGUGUAUACGAUUGUGAAAAAUACACACUACACUGAGUACACGUAUAGAUUAGUCUGAUUCUGCUGAAAUAUUUUCAUGAAUCUCGAUGUAAAUAAUUAAAUACUGACGUGGUGGCUGUGUUGAUCAAGGAUAUAAUUGAAGUAGCUUGAUAUCUAAUUUUAACCCAAGUAGCUGAUAUCUAAUUUUAAGAAGAAAGAAAACAAGGAUGAAAAAGAAAAAAAUUGUAUGAAAGGCUGGAUGGCAAAUCCCAACACGCUUCCAGUCCUAUAGGAAUGGUCCGAAUGUGAGUAGGAGGAAAUUUUGUACUUAGUUGACGUUGGAAACUAUCAACUUGAACCAAACUAAAUGAACAUAAUUUCAGCCGUGCAAGGUUGGGGCAGGUCACUGACAAAGACGGCACCGCUGUGGCUGCUGACUAUUUCGGAAACUCAUACUAUGGUGGAAGAUCAAAGAGAGAAAGAAAUGCUAAGCAGUUGGCAUCUACUAAGAUGGCAAGUUCUAGGAGCAAUGCAAGUCAAGGUGGGAGGUAUGGGGGGUUAUGCAACUGAUAAACGGUCAUUUAUUUAUGCACAUUAUACGGUUUACACUUCAUACUCGGUUAGAGUAUUGCUGCAAUAUAGGCUUGAGGCUCAGAAACUACGCUGUACAUUGAUAAGGAUGGAAGCUGCUGACUAAAUUUGGCGCAAUCUAUUCCCAACCCAUCAGUAUAUUUCUUACACCUUCCUCGAUUUUGUUCCUUGGCACCGAAGGACAGAAUCCUUCAUCUAGCAGGAAUCUGUAGACCUCCCACUCCCGAUCUCGGAUCAUGUGUCUCACUAUCUCAGCCUGAAACAAGUUGGUAAAGAACACAAUGAAUGGUAGAAGGACGAAUUAUGUUGGAUAUCAAACCAAGAUGUAGGAUAUCACUGGAAUAAGACACUUAUAGUGGUGGUUAGAGCUAAUACCGAGAAGAUGCGUGUGCUCAGAUCUUUGAGGGCAAGAGUAAUGUCAUAAAAGACAAGAGGCCGGCCCCUGCCGGACAACUCAACCGGGUUUGCUACCAACAGCUCGGUGUCAGGGCCGCGGUUCACCACAGCCACACGAAGCGGACACAAAAGCUCCGCUCUCAAGCGAGAACACAAGGCAUCUUGCUUCUUGCUGUCAACAAUCUUCUUGCCAUCUGGUUGCACUACAAACAAGUCCAGCUCACAAUUCCCUUUUGUGUUCUCAUAGAAUCGUCCAUAAGAAACCUGAUAUUAAACCCAUAUUUUAUAUACAAUGGUCAGUAUUAUUCACUAAUAUGGUAAAUCACAACAACAACAAAGAGGAGGACUAAAUUGAAUUUUAUCAGCCAAAAAAGGCUAGAAGCACUGGCAUGAUACAAACCUUUUGCUCGCCAGAACUCACUACUGAUUAUAAAUAUAUCAAUUAUACCAACUUUACUUUACAUACAUCUCUCUAGUAUGAUUUUACCUGAACUCCUUGACCCAUGUAAAGUUUAUUGAAGUUUUAUUAGGAGAUUGAGAGCAUACAUCAAGCAUUUAACGUCAAACUAAUUAGUUUCUGCAUACUAACAUCUAUAUUAACAACAAUGACAUGUUUGAUGUGAGAAGGUAAAAUUGUGAACAGACCCUAAAAUUUUAUUUCUCCCCAAAAUUACAUAGCUUAAAAAAGAUGUACCUGAAGGUUGCAAUCCUUUAGUGUUCUCAUGAUGUCAUACACUAGACCUUUAUGAUCUGGACAGAAUAUUUGAACUAGUGUGUGAGAUGGGCUGAGGUUAUUGUCCACUGUUAUCGAAAUGGGAAUGGAGGCAAAAGGUCUUUUUAGGUGGCCGUUGGUCCACUCCAAACUUAACAUUUCUUCAGUGAUUUCAGAAGGAAGAUAAUGAGAACCCUGUGAACAUGCAGUAACUUUUGACUCGGCCAAUUCAAUUUCACAACCCAAUAAGACAUUCCCCAAGACAGCUUUCAGGCAAUGAAUUGUUUCAUCUUGCCGUCUUUUUGUAUGCAGCAGUUCUCUGAUUGAGAAAGAGAAAGAAUAUGAUUAGCCAUAUCUUAGGAGGAAAGAUGAAACAAUCUCAGAACUGACCCUCAACUGAUGUGCCCUCACACAGACACGAUGAUACACUAACACCUAGACCGGUAUAUAAUAAUUGCAAAAACAAGUUUAAAGAACCUAACUGAAAAUAUUUUGCAAACAAAAAUUGAAGGAACCAUGUUGAGGAUCUGUUUCUCUUUUACUCUAGAAUGAAACUUGAGAAGUAGAUAUACCAAAAAAAGAAAGAAAAGGAAAGGCAGAAAUGAUGCACCAUAUAUAGAUAGGGAAAUAAUGUCAAGAGUGACAAACCUGGUAUCUGUAACAAAAAAAAGGUCCAUCACUUUCCCAUCUGGGGUAGUAGACACCUUCACUCUCUCUAUUGUGAGUUCAAGCUCACAAAGAACCUUAGUGACAUCUAUUCAGUAAAAAGAAUCAAUAAUAAUCCCAAACUAAAAAUAUAUAGAAGUAUAGAUGGCACUUUUUUCUCAGAUAUAGAUACAUCGAAACAAGUAGGGUAUACCAGGUAAAGGAAAUGAAAGAAAAGACACAGAUAGAACCAUCACUUCUACAUUGAAGUUGCCAAAUGGAUAUGCACCUCAUUAUUCAUUCAACAUGACCCCUAGUUUGAUUUCUUUUCUCUAAAUGGGGAUAAUACAAUUACUGUACUCAUCUAUGCAUAAAAAUAGAUCACAAUGUUAAAGCUUUAAAUAGGCCAGUCUGAAGAAUAGUUUAUGAGUAACCUCAAUCAAUUUCAUAAAUUACUAAAUUUGGUAAAUUUUAGUUUAUACAUUAUGAGGGAAAUAAAAACUACUGAUAAAGCUUACAUCCUCGUAUACUGUUAUACAUAGAAAUCAAUUAUUUUCAGUCAGUACUCAGAUAUAGUCUAUAGUCUAUAUGAAGAACCCAAAUUGUCAUCAUUAUAAAGAUCACCGACUCUCUCUCUCUCUCUAUCAUCAUAACAAAAGAAGUGAUCUUUUCCAGCUCAAACUGUUACUAGGAUAGUUGCAUUGAAGAUUGAGAAAGUGUGAUGAAUCAUUUAGCAAGAGCAAACAACCGAAACAUUACUGUUAGAACCCAAAUGACAAAAUUCUCUAAGUCUUGUUCAUCUAAGUAAAAGUAAGCUGUGAAGAAUCAAUUCAGAGUGAACAAGUAAUCAUGCAAUGACAAUCUUGGAAAUGAAAGUUUACCAUGCAAUAGGCCUUCCUGUUCAUAAGAGCACCAGAAUUUCAAAAGGAACACAUCUAGUGGCUUCGGCUGCUGAUUCUCCGGCCGAUAAUAGUAUAUCCCAGAAGUGGUAAAGUAUGAUGGACACACUUCUAACAAUCUCUUUGUCAGCAAAUUCCACCUAGUCUCCGGCUUUCCCACCACCCAAAACACUAUGUAGCACCAUUUUCCGUCGGUCGAAACAUCUUCAACACAAAAGCAACAAAAAAUGUUCACUUUCAUCAAAACAGUAUUGAAUUCUACUAAUUUUCCACUACAAAUUCUAUGAUCCAUCAAGAAUGCCUUACUUUCUGCUUUACAACAAAAGAUCCUAAACUGAAGACUCAUUCUUUGUGUCUCUCUAAAGCUCGGAUCGACCAAUUAGUGUUUCAGCAAACUUCAAUAAAAUUCAUUACAUGCAUUCUCAAGAAUUUCAGAUCCAAAUAGUAAAAAACUUUUCAAUGUUCAAAACAAACCACACCACUUUCCCAGCUCAAAAUAAAAAACCACCUCCAGAAAAACCUCAAAUUACUCAGAAAAACAAAGCAAUCAAACCAAAAGCUUAAGAAAACCUCACCUCCUCUGCAAAUGCUCAGCCCAAACAACAAUAUGACCCUGCACAGAUCACAGCCUAACCCAGUUUUGUCGGGGCAAUUCACAGUGACCACAGUGGGAUCUCCAGCCUUCUCUCCCUGGCUAAUCACUACCACGUCCUCAUGCAAAAUGCCCAUUCCCGCCAAGUUCCUCUGUUUUUUUUUUUUUUUUGUUCUCUGUUUUCCGGUGACCAGAAAACUGAGCAAAAAGAUACCCAAGUUGGGUCUGGUGGGUAUCUUCCGAUUCUUGCUCUUGUUUUUUAAUGAGCAAAAUUAGUGGGAGAUUCCAAAUAAUAGAGGAAGAGUUUGAGAUCAGAUAGAAUCAUCCAGAUAGAAGAUAACAGAUGAUGGUUCUGUUUACUUAUGGAAUAUCAAUUUCUCAUAUUUAUCGGUGGGAGAGACUGAGUGAGAGACAGAGAUUAAAGUCUUCGAGACGUGGUGAGUAGGUGGACUCGAGUAUAGUUGAGACUGAUUUUCAAAGACAACUUUUUCGGUGUUGGUUUCCGACCGUCCUUAAUUUUCUGCUAUUUCAUGAAAACUAACAAAUAGAGUUUGGUGAAGUUCAAGUGGACCGGAAUCGUCCUACUAUAGGGGAACACCAUUAAUCAAUUUUGUUUUACAUGAUUUUGUUAUAAAUGAAAAAGAAUUAUGAUUAAUGAUACAGUCAUGAUUUAUUAGUAUAAAAUCUUAAAAAGGAAAUGGCCAUUAAGAAAUUUUUGGUUUCUAUAAAAAAAUAUGUCGACGGCAAGUCCCCUCAUCAUAUGUGGAAAUUGCGAAAUCGGUAGGUUAUUUAUGAUAUACAUACAUGGAGGAAGAUGCUACCGGUUCGUUGGGAGGUGGCAGAGAUAGAGAUCUAGUUUCAAUUAGUGUUGAAUGCCCUUUAUUGUUUCGAGUCAAGGUAUGAUAUUAGACUUACUAGUAGGUCAACAUAUUUAUGAGUUGACUGAAUUAUAAGCUGAUUUCAUGUCUAGUUACUCAUGUUGCUCUUAUGUCAAUACGGCUCAUGAUUCAAAAGUUCAUUAUAAGUAACGUUGCGAGCCUCCGUUGAGAAGCAAAAGAACCUAAGAAAAUUUUGAAUUCAUCGGUAUUUUAGAUAAAAUCUCAACAGUUCAUUUCUGACUAAUUUGGUGCUAAUCUCUUAUAGGGCUGAAUUCAGACGUUGCAUAAUGUGAUAUGUUGAAGUUUACGUAAGAAACUCGUAUGAAUGACUAUAAUGAAAAAUGCACAAAGGAGUACCAUAGUUCCCCAAAUGUAGACCAACAUUACGAAAAGGAAGGAAAACCUUCACCGAACACAUUUGAGAAAAGCACCUCACGCACAACUUGAUCUAGAGUGAGAAAUUGAAAAAUGUUGAAAAAUUAUUCUUGAUUCUAAUAUGCCAUUCUAGAAGCUCCAAAAGCUAGUGAGGUCAUGUAUGAUAUAACUUCGCAUGUAAAAAAAUCAGCUUUUUAUUCAAAAAAUUUAGAUUUUAUAGUGUUUAGCAAAUUAAUGAAAAUCAGCUUUAAAAUAAAUAAAUUACAUGUUAUUGCAAACGCUUUAAGAAACAAUCAGAAUGUUACUUUUAGAAGCUAUUGUCAAUAAAAACACUAAAAAAUAUUACAUUUUGUAUCUGCAUCAUUUUUAGAACUACUAUUACUAAACACAAACCAUUUUAAUUCAUAACUAAUUAUUUUCGUAGUACAACAACUACAUUUUUUCUACUUCUUAAAGUCGCAAUAACAAACUAACCUUGAUUUGAGUUCAAAUUUCCUUAUUUUCACUCAUCCGGGACUUAAAACGUGAAAUAUAAAUUACGUUAUAUGACAUGACACCGAUCCGUAAACGAGUCGCAAGAAACUAUCUGCUACACAUGUCUUUUUUUACAACAAACGGUCAUAAUUCGUAUGACAACUAAAGUUGUAUUGUGCUAAACUAACCCAUAUCUUAGCAAUUCAUGUCUUGUUAUCACACAAUAUAAGAAUGCAAAAAGUCAUAAAGAAACUAGAAAGUUUUGAACAAUUCUUCUACUCCCAUACUAAGCACUUUAGAGUUGUUUCAAAAUGUUUCGAUAGAGCGCGUCCUAGUGACCGACCCUAGCAGACUUGGAGGAGUAUGUUGUGGGAGGACAUAUAUUACAAUAUUGAAGUUCUUCCUAGAGAUGGAGCUCCAAAGACCCAUCUUCGUACCAGCAUCAAGGUUGUGUGAAUCAUCGACAUGAUUAGAAAAAUCCUCCUUAGUUGGAGUGCGGAGAUCGCUCUUCUUGCAGCGGUACACCGACGAAUCAACACAAUCAUGAGAUAUCUUUUGACGAAAGCCUGCAGCUUCUCACUUGGGAGGUUAGUAAACGAAAGCUUACUCUUAUGAGCCAUCCUCUUCUUCUCUCUUAUUCAUCCACUGAGAUUCUCUCUUCUUAAAUAACAAAAUUAUCAUUGAAAUAUCGGCGAUUUAAUCUUUACACAACAUGAGAAUAUCUAAAUAUUGCAAUAUUUGCGCGAAACUCACGAAAUCUUGUUAAUAAAUCAGCCCAUUUCUCUUUAUUGAGAAAUCGAAGAAGCUAUCCAAAAGGUUUUGCCAAGCCUACUCGUAUAUAUGGUCAUUAACUCGGCCCAAACUUAUGAAAUUAACACUAAAGUCUUGGCGUAGCGUAGGUAACAUGAUUCGAACCCAGGUUGUCACAUGUUAUAUCUCACAUUCUCAACCAAUCCUCUUAAGUCUUAAGAUACACUUAAUAGUCUAUUAUAUAAACUCUACAUAUAUUUUCACACUUUUAAACUUUCCUUUCGAAAUUUUAUUAAUAUCACUAUCAAAAUAUCUAUUUUUCUGACAGUCGAAAUUUUCUCGAAACGCGAUAUUUUAGUCCUUAAUUUGAUGCCUAAGCUACUUCGCUCCUCCAAACUGGGCCGGUGUUGGAUCAAACAAACAGAAACUUGAAAGGAGGAGAACGAUACAAGUCAUACAACUACGUUGAUUUUAAACAGAAACUUGAAAAGAGAACGAUACAACUACGUUGGUUUCUAACCCAAUGGAUGCCUAUGUUUGGGCCAAUAUUCCAUUUUCCUUUUUAAUAAUUUUUUUUCUUUCUAGCAGCUAGACAGCUAGUUAACCAAUUGUGAAGCUACACAACUAGGACUUGCAGCGGAAAACGACUACCACGCGUUGCAUGGAGAGGUUAGGUCCUGCAUGCAACUCCGCCGCCCGUAAAUCUCCUACUGACAGCUCUACCCCUCGAUUUGCAGAUACCGAUGUAUAACCCGAGGACAAAACGGUAAUCGUUGAUACUCCGAGCCGGACAUAAAACCAUCCAAGAACAAAGAAGAGAACCACCACCGGAAAAAUGGCCGGACCACCUCUACCUCCACCUCUUCUAACGUGUUUGGUGGGUGUUGCAGUCUUAAUCUGCGCACUAACCCUCUGUGUUGCCCUAGAUGUCAGCCCCCAAGACCCAAUCAUCCACCAAGUCACAGACCAUGAUACUAAUAAGCUCCUUGGAACCGAAAAAGAGUUCAAGAUUUUCAUGGAGAAGUAUGGGAAGAAGUACCCUACUAUGAAGGAGUACAUGCACCGCCUCGGUGUUUUUGCCAAGAACAUGAUCAGAGCCGCCGAGCACCAAGCUCUGGAUCCGACGGCGGUUCACGGCGUCACGCCGUUCUCGGAUCUGGAGGAGGAGGAGUUCAAGAGGAUGUACACCGGCGUAAGAGGUGCGCCCGGCUUAACCAACGGCGGAGGCGGUGCGGGAAGCACGGUUGAGCUUCUGGAUGUUAGCGGGUUGCCUGAGAGUUUUGAUUGGAGAGAAAAAGGAGCUGUUACUGAGGUCAAGAUGCAGGUAGUUAAUGUUACAGUUUCUAAUUUUCGUUUUUUUAUUAUUGUUUUUUUAGGUUGGUACUACACAAUAUAUGUGAUUAACAGUUUCGGACCGUACUUAAAUCCUAGCUUAUUGCAAAUCAAGUUAUGGCAAAUACGAUAUAGAAUUCUCGUAGCUGGUUGUAAAUUACUAAAUUGUGUAAUCUGAAGUCGAUCAGCUGAUCAGGUGCUGCUGGUUCUUUUGUUUAAUUGAUUGUAUAACUAGCUUGUGUUUGAGAGUUUGAAGUUUUGUACAGAAAGAUUUGUCUAAUGGAGCUAGGGUGUUUGUGGAACACGGAAUUUUUCUUCAGGCAAGGCGUUGUAUUGUGAUACUUAAAGCCUCUAAAUCUCUUGUUAUGGAUGCAGGGUGGCUGUGGGUCAUGCUGGGCCUUUAGCACAACAGGAGCUAUUGAAGGAGCCAAUUUCAUUGCCACUGGGAAGCUUGUUAGUCUCAGUGAACAGCAGCUUGUUGACUGUGAUCACCAGGUAAUUAAGCCUAGCCUCUCUGGAAUAUAUUGAAGUACUCAUUUAACUUUAGGGCGAUAAAAAUUUAAUUGAUUGAGCAUAUAUAUAAUAUUUGGCAUGCCUACUUAAUUAGUUUCGUUUAAUGUUUGUGGCAACUAUAAUCAAGUGUGAUGCAAAAGAGAAAGAUGCAUGUGAUCGUGGUUGUGGUGGCGGACUUAUGACAAAUGCCUACAAGUAUCUAAUGGAAAGCAGGAGGGGUUGCAAAGACGAGGUUUCAUACCCUAUACGGGGGAAAAAAGGGGCGAAAUGCAAAUUUAAUCCCUGAAAAAAGUAGCCGUGAGAGUAACCAAUUUCACCACUAUUCCCCUUGAUGAGAAUCAGAUUGCAGCGAACUUGGUCCACAAUGGUCCUCUUGCCAGUGAGUACUAAACCUGAUAAUAUGCUUAAAAAUAGCUAGGCUUUUUAUGUAUCUAUGUGUGCGUACAUAGAACUGCCUUAAGUGUCUUAUUUUCUGAAUAUGAUGUGCACUGUUUAGCAUAUUUAGAUCUGAGUGUAGAUACACCCCACUGAUACAGAAUCUUAAUUGAUGUAUGUAUGCGCAGUUGGCUUGAAUGCUAUGUUCAUGCAAACCUACAUUGGCGGUGUGUCAUGCCCUCUUGUUUGUUUCAAGAAAUGGGUGAACCACGGUGUUUUACUUGUUGGAUAUGGUGAGAGUGGCUUCUCGAUUCUCAGGCUCAGCAACAAGCCGUAUUGGAUCAUCAAGAAUUCAUGGAGCGCAAAAUGGGGAGAACAUGGUUAUUACCGACUUUGCCGAGGCCAUGGCAUGUGUGGGAUGAAUACUAUGGUGUCUGCAGUUGUGACCAGUACUCGGGCAUCCUAGCUGCAUCUCCCGAGAUUAGCUAGUAUACAAUUAUACACUAUAAUAUAUAUAUGCACCUCUCCCUUGUUUUUUCUUAAUCCGAAUUUGAUGUUCCUAUAAUCAUAUUUCAAGAAUAUUAUUGUUAAUAUGCCGAAGUGGAAAGUCUUGUUUACGUCAAAACCAAUUCGAACCAUAUUAUGUUAGCUUUAAAUGCUAGAUUGUCAGACUUCAAAUUUAAGUCGGGAAAAUUUUACAAUGUGUUAAUGUAUGUCAUGUAUUAAUUUUAUCCUAAAAUUGUAAAAUGAGUCUCUAAAAUAGUAAUAUUAGUACUCGAAGUUGUAAUAUAUAUGAGUAGUUGUAAAUUUUAUAGUUACAACAUUAGUCAUCAUGUGUCCUUAAUGUGUCUUUAAAGUAAAUUUUAUAGUUACAACAUUAGUUAUCAUGUGUACUUAAAGUGAUAAAUUGCGUGCUUAAAGUCGUAAUUGAAUCCUUAAAGUGAUUAAAAAAAGUUUUUAUAUCUUUGAGGAUUUGUAUUACAACUUUGAGGACUCAAUUACCAUUUUAAGGACACAUGAGGAUUAAUGUUGUAACUAAUUUUUUUUACAACUUUAAAGACUUAUAUUACAACUUUGAGGACUAGUUAAUAUUACUCCCGUAAAGACUCGAUCAUUUUAUAACUUGAGGACAAAGUUGAUGCAUCACAUGCAUUAACACACCAAAGUUGAUUCUCCACAAGCUUGUUGAAGAACUUGGUAGAAGUUUUGAUUUGUUGAAAGGCUUGAAGACGAGGGUUGAUCAAGGGCCGUAGAGGGUUGACGUUGAUCGAGUUUGGGCCACGAGCAGUUCCAUAUGGUGGUUGCUCUUCGUCUUGUAGUUGGUGAAGAUGUCUGCUAUUUAGCAAUUUGGGACUCUUUGGGAUUUGGCAACUUCUAAGCUUGAGAUUGAUGAAGAAUCGGCUAUUUGGCAACUUGAUGAUUCUUCAACGGUUUUGGGAGAAUUCUGAGUUCUCGGGAGUAAUUUUUUUCUCUUGUCCGGAAGUCCUUAUCUUGAUAUGAGAGGGGGUAUUUAUGGUGUCGAUGCUCCUCCGUAAAUAGAAUGCAUUAAAGUCACAACUUUAAUUGUAUUUCCUUAAUGAUAUAAUUAAAUCAAUCACUUUUGAUUGAUUGAUUCAAUUAUUCAAUUUACUAUAAUUAAAUCAAUCAAUCUUAAUUGAUCGAUUUAAUUAUGACCGAUAAGGUAUUUCACCAAUUUGAUUAAAUUCCGACUUCCUUUUCGAUAAUCGAUUUGAUUUGAUUGAUGUUUGAUUAUCGAUUGACAUUUAAUAUUUGAUUUUAGUCGGGAUUGAUGAUUUUGUUGUCGACCGACCAUUAUCAAGCCGCCAUGUGUUAUUUCCGAAGACUUUUCAACUUUGCUGACUCACGAGCCACGUAUGUAAUUUGUCAGGCCCAUGGGUUGUAUGAAUAAUUUAAUAAUUAUUAUUCUCAUUAAAUUUUAUGCGUCUACAAAUACCCCCACUUUAAGGUGUGUUGUAGUCAUGUUGUUGUCACGUGUCAGAGGUGCGACUUGAAGUUAUUUUUGAUGACACUUGUGGCGUGUUUUGCCAUCCACUCGUUUUUACGUCUGAAAUAUUGGUCCGUACCAUGAUGACAUUUUUGUUGCCUUUGAAAUUUGUAUUUUGAACGCUUGAGAAUCAUGCAUUGCGACCUUUCCAUAUGUUUAGAAUACAUGAGCAAUUUGCAUGCUUAGUGGAUAUGAUCUUCAUUUGAACAACUUCCAUACGUGGCUUUAAAUUUACCCGUCUCGCAACUAUUUUCAAUUGGUAGGAUUUGAAUGAGAGAUGAAAGCUUUUCUUUUCUUUUCUUAUCGAUUGAUGCGUGGCUGACAUUUCCUUCAUUGGUAUAAAUAAUUACCACCUUCUAAAUGAGUUUGGUCUUCUACAAGUAAGAAAUCGUGUAAUGGCUUGAUGACUUCUUGACCAAAUAGAAAAGUGAACGCAUGAUGACAUUAUAAAAUUGUACUGUAGGGUUUUGCCCUAAUCACUGUAUUCUCUUCCGUAGCUAGCCGCCCGCCCGUACUUCUUGUAAUUCUUUCUUCCUUCUUCUUUUUCUUUUUCUUUUUAUUUUUUUAUUUUACUGUAGGCCUCAGUCGUGAGUGAAGUUUGGUACGAAAAUAGGUCCAACCUUGUACCGCGAACUUGACAACGAAAUUGUGGAGGCAGGAUCAAUGCGAUGGUGCCAUGCAAUUGCGUUGUCGUAAUCCUCUCUAUUGUUUGAUUAUUGAUUUUACUAUCGCAUGCCUCCAUGCUUACUGACCCAUCCUUAUGCAUAGUGUAGUCGAUAUAUUUUUUUUCAGUUGCGGCUGAAGGGUCAUCUUUUCGGCAAGCACAGUUGAAGAAAACCCACGAGGUACGCACAGUUGAAGAAAACCUUCGAGAGACCAGAGCCUUGAGGUACUACUUUUGUUUUAGUUGAUUUUCUUAAUCCUUUGGCUUGUCCAUAUGCUUUCCGGAAGGAAACAAAGAUUGUCAAGAGUGACAACCCUCGUUUUUCAUGGUGGGUGAGCUUACUCUUUAAUCAACUUUGAUUGUCAUCUCAUUAUGCAAAGCGGCAAUUUUUUUUCUUCGCCAAGUUCGGCAGCAGCAUGGUACUAACUCUUUUUUCUAUUUUUCUUUUCAGAAUUUUGAUGGCAAAUUGAAGAACGCGAACACCUAACCGCUUGGUUUCUUUUACGUCUUGGACGUGAGAUAAACCGUUGAAAGUGUUUAGGCUUUACGUACCCUGACAGUAAUUGAAGAACAAGAACACCUAACCGCUUGAUUUAUUCCACGUUUAAGAUGUGGGAUAAAUUGCUUAAAGUGUUUAGGUUUUGCGUAGACGUAUACUAUUCCGCAUGGUGUUCUCCAAGAGUUUCAAGAAGGACACAAACAUCAUCUUUGAAGAUAUCGAGGAUAUUGAAAGUGAUGGCACCACCUCUCAUCUAAGCUCGCUCAUCUCUAACAACUUCUCGCUCAUCCUUGAUUUAACUAAUAACUUUGAGAUCAUGGGUUCAAACCUCACAGACAUAUGUAAGGUGCGUGAGUUAUUUAAUAAAAGUUUUUUUUUUUUAAAGAGCUCGCUCAUCAUGAUUUCACCUCUGUGAGCUUCGAGAAAUUUUUAAAUGCUACGGGAGGACCAUGUGGCAGUCUAACGUGGUCCUACGAUCCAAUCAAAUUUAGACAUGUGGAUUUUUUACAACUAAAAUAUAAACAAAUAUUUUCUAUUUUUUGUGAAAUGACAUUCAUGGGUAUUUAGCAAGUUCAAAUUAGGGUCUAGGGUAUAGGGUUUAAAGUUUAGGGUUAGAGUUUAGGGUAUAGGGUUUAGGGUUUAGGGUUUAGGGUUUGGGGUUUAGGGUUUAGGGCUUAGGGUUUAGUAUUAAAAAAACAACAAAAAAUCUAAAAUGGUCUUUGACAAAAUAGCUGAAAUAAUUUUUCGUAAAGAAAAUCUACAUGUCUAAAUUUGAUUGGAAAGAAGGCCCACGUCAGACUGCCACGUGGUCCUCCCGUAGCACUGAAAAAUUUCUCAUGAGCUUCAUUGACGUUUCUUCAACGUGGUGGUUGAUUCAAUUAUUUAAUUUACCAUAAUUAAAUUAAUAAUUAAAUUCAGUUUAUCUCUUUAAACUUUAAGUCGAAAAUUAGUUUGAUCCCUGAUUUUUUUUUUUUAUUUCACGUCAGUCUAUAUACUUUCACAAUUACAUCACUGUAGUCUAAAAUUUGAAUUUGGCGCUGAACAUGACUCUGUUGAUGUAGACCCGACAACAUGGCCCCAUUUUUAAGAUAUUAAAUUUUAAUUUGAACAUAAUGUCCAAACUACCCUUAUCUUCUUUUUUAGGAGAACAAAAAAUUAAUGUUGGGUGGGCUGGGUUUGAAGCCUAGACCUUAUCUUUUUUUUUUUUAAUCACGUCUGACUCUGCUGAUGUAGACCCGACAGCAUGGCCUCACUUUUAAGAUAUUAAAUUUUAAUUUGAACAUAAUGUCCAAACUACCCUUAUCUUCUUUUUUUAGGAGAACAAAAAAUUAAUGUUGGGUGGGCAGAGUUCGAAGCCUAGAGCUUGCUGUCAAAUACUAUGCUCCAAACCACUGGAGUAACUAUUGCUCAUAUACCUUUUAGUACAUCUAUAUUUAUUAGUACGAAAAAAUGAAAGGAAAAUAAUAAAUAAUAAAACUAUUUGUGAUUGUGUUCCUACCAUUCACGCCCAGACCUUUACUCCAUGCCUUCACUGAAGGUCAUAAUCCCAGAAUUUUUUUUUCUUUCAGUUUGUUUAUCCUCCUCUUCUUUUUCUUCUUUUUCCUUCAAAUCAAACUAUCAAAGAAAUCACGCUGCAAAUUCCGACCGGGAGGAUGAAGGGUGAGACGGCUUCUUCGUCGUCGGGGAAGCUAAGGAGCUUAAGGAUUGUUUCUGACGAUUCUUGAGCUUGGCAGAAGAGGGGUUUGAUAGGAAAUUCGGCAUCGAUGCGAUGGCGGAACUUCUCUGCUUUUGAGGAGCUUUGUGGCUGGAUUGGUGGGGUGGGGGGGGGGGGGGGGGGGGGAUUUGGGGGUUUGGGGUUUUCAAUGAAUUGGCUUGGUGGUCGACGGCGAUUCGGAGGUUGAAAUUGAUGGGGUGGCAUCCUCGAGGCUGCGUUCGAGGCCGGGAUCAGAGGGGUGAGGCGGAGGGACUAGGUCGUGGUCGCCUAAAGUUUAUUUUAUUUUAUUUUUUUUCCCUAGUCUCUUUAUUUCAAAAUGUCUGUUUUGUCCUUCUUAUGGGUCAUCCUGUCUGGUCCACAUCAGCAGAUGAUGUCAUGUUCGGAGUCAAAUUCAAAAUUUUAGACCACAUUGAUAUAAUUGUGAAAGUACAAGAACUGACGUGAUAAAAAAAAAUCAAGACCAAACUGAUUUUCGAACAAAAAAUUUGAGGGAGUAAACUGAAUUUAAUCCUUAAAUCAAUCAGUCUUAAUUAAUCGAUUUAAUUAUGACCGAUAAAGUAUUUCACUAAUUUGAUUAAAUUCCGACUUCAUUUUUAAUAAUCGAUUUGAUUUGAUUGAUGUCUGAUUAUCGAUUAAUGUUUAAUAUUUGAUUUUAAUUAGGAUUGAUGAUUUUGUUGUCGACCGACCAUUCACACGCCGCCACGUGACAUUUUCGAAGACUUUUCAACUUUACUGACUCACGAGCCACGUAUGCAAUUUGUCAGACCCCUGAGUUGUAUGAAUAAUUUCCGAAGACUUUUCGAUAAUCGAUUUGAUUUGAUUGAUAUCUGAUUAUUGAUUGACAUUUAAUAUUUGAUUUUAGUCGGGAUUGAUGAUUUUAUUGUCGACCGACCAUUCACACGCCGUCACGUGUCAUUUCCGAAAACUUUUCAACUUUGCUGACUCACGAGCCACAUAUGCAAUUUUUCGGGCCCCUGGGUUGUAUGAAUAAUUUAAUUGCUUCAGUUCUAUAUAUACCGCGUCCCACAUGUUUCAUCAAGUGUCAGAUAAUACAGAACCUACUUCGCCAAAAUGAAGAAAAUUGAGGUCAGUAUAAAUUCCAAACACACCAUCAAACCAUCAUCUUCCUCUACACCACUACAGCCUUACAAGCUUACCCUCCUGGACCAGCUCACUCCUCCAACGUAUGUCCCUAUGGUAUUCUUCUACCCCAUUACUGACCAUGUCUUCAAUCUUCCUCAAACCCUAGCAGACUUAAGACAAGCCCUUUCCGAGACUCUCACUUUGUACUAUCCACUCUCUGGAAGGGUCAAAAACAACCUAUACAUCGAUGAUUUUGAAGAGGGUAUCCCAUACCUUGAGGCUCGAGUGAAUUGUGACAUGACUGAUUUUCUAAGGCUUCGGAAAAUCGAGUGCCUAAAUGAGUUUGUUCCAAUAAAAACAUUUAGUAUGGAAGCAAUAUCUGAUGAGCGUUACCCCUUGCUUGGAGUUCAAGUCAACAUUUUGGACUCUGGAAUAGCAAUCGGUGUCUUCAUCUCUCACAAGCUCAUCGAUGGAAGAACGGCAUACUGUUUUCUCAAGUCCUGGGGUGCUGUUUUUCGAGGGUGUCGUGAAGAUGUCAUACAUCCUAGUCUCUCUGAAGCAGCAUUGCUUUUCCCACCGAGAGAUGACUUGCCUGAAAAGUAUGCCGGUCAGAUGGAAGGGUUAUGGUUUGCCGGAAAGAAUGUUGCUACAAGGAGAUUUGUAUUUGGUGCGAAAGUCAUAUCUUCAAUUCAAGAUGAAGCGAAGAGCGAGUCCGUGCCCAAGCCAUCACGAGUUCAGGCCGUCACUGGUUUUCUCUGGAAACAUCUAAUCGCUGCUUCUCGGGCACUAACAUCAGGUAAAAUCAGUUUAUCAACAAGCCAAAUAAUAAAGCCUAAUGUAUUUGGGGUACUUAUUUAUAUAUUUUUAUUACGUAUAUCUAGUGUACUGUGUACAUAGCUCAAAGAAUGAGAAAAUAUAUGAACUUGCAGGUACUACUUCAACAAAACUUUCUAUAGCAGCCCAGGCAGUGAACAUAAGAUCACGGAUGAACAUGGAGACGGUGUUGGAUAAUGCCACUGGAAACUUGAUGUGGUGGGCACCGGCCAUACUACAGCCAAGUCAUACAACACCAGAGAUUAGUGAUCUUAAGCUGUGUGACUUGGUUAACUUGCUCAAUGGAUCUGUCAAACAAUGUAACGGUGAUUACUUUGAGACUUUCAAGGGUAAAGAGGGAUAUGGAAGAAUGUGUGAGUAUCUAGAUUUUCAGAGGACUAUGAGUUCUAUGGAACCAGCACCAGAGAUUUAUUUAUUCUCGAGCUGGACUAAUUUUUUCAAUGCACUUGAUUUUGGAUGGGGGAGGACAUCAUGGAUUGGAGUUACGGGAAAAAUUGAAUCUGCAUUUUGCAAUUCCACAAUGUUGGUUCCAACACAAUGCGAUAAUGGAAUUGAAGCAUGGGUGAAUCUAGAAGAAGAGAAAAUGGCUAUGCUAGAACAAGAUCCCCAGUUUCUAGCGGUAGCAUCUCCAAACCCCCCAAUUUCAAGGUGUUGAUUAAAAAAGAUUAUGUGGCUCGUGCAAUGUUUCGAUUUUGUAGUGAAUAAGGUUUAAAUUAGUUCACCAGCCAAUCAAUAAGAUGCAAGUAUGAUAGACUCUGUCUACGUAUGUUAUCCGAAUGUGUUUUCGAUAUGCUUGUAACCAAUAUAGCUCUUGUUUGUAAUAAUGCUCUGUUAAGCUUCUAUCUAUAAAGUUAUUUCUCUUGAUUAAAGAAAAAACUAUACAAGUUUUGUUAAGCUUUAUUCUAUUUUUAAGAUAGGAUGUAUGUAGUACCUAUAAAGAUGGUUCACCUAUUAUUAUUUUCAAAUACAUGAUUAUCCGGUACAAUUACGUAGAAUAUUUCUAUAGCUAAAAAAAUGUAAUUUUGAUCCGUGACAACAUGAUUAAAAAAUUACAUAUUCUGAUACAUUUGUUCUCUAACGACAAGCAUGGCCAUAAUGCCUCACCUGAUCAUCUAUGUGAUGGGGUAGUGUCCUUUCUUUUUAAGAGAAGGUAGGCACCUAAUGUGAAGGCCUCUACGAGAGACUAAUAUUGUCUGAUCUUCUUUUGUUCAUCAAAUUAAAGAAACGAAAAUGGCCACAAUGCCUCACUAUUGAUAGAAGAUAGAACCAUACAAUAAUUUGGAACAUAUGCAUGGAGACAAGGAAAUAUAACACAAUAAAACCAUUAUAAUUUCACUUUAUGUGGGAAACUUGGCCAAAACCGAAUCACAUCCACGUUGGCAACAAAAAGUGACUGGAAAAAAAGAGCCCCCAAAAAGCUAAAACACUAUAAAAACCAGAAAACUUGAAUAAGCGAAAAACCAAAAGUAUGACAUUUACACACACACUCUAUCUCUCUCUCAAAGUCUGAAAACUUGCGCAAUAAGGUACCUAGCUCUCUGGUCUUUUCUUUCUAAUGCAUAUAAGUCCCUGUAAAUUUUAUGGCUUUUGGAAUGAUGAUUUUAUGCUUGUGGAUCUCAGAUGGGUUUGUUUUGUUUUGGGAUUUUUAUAAAUGAAUCCAUUGAAAAUGUUGAAAGCUUAUGCCUUUGUUCCUUGGUUCACUGUUCUGGUUUUGUAAAUUGUGUGUACGAGAGUUGAAAUGUUGGUUUUGGUAAAGAGAAAUGUUCUAUAACCAUGUAAGUUAUCUUCUAAAGUUGUUCGAGUACUGCAUAGGAAAUAACGACCUAAACUGCUAGAUGCUCUGAGAAACUUAAUUAUCCGAUUCGUUGUGAUAAAUUAAUAGAACCAUCAAUAGCCGUGAUAGUCCCUUAAUAUUUGGUGGCUAAUUAGCAAUGCAUUCAUGGUAGUUGCAUGUGCUUAUUUUGUGCAGUAUUCUAAUUCUAUCACUUGCAAAAUCGUUGUGGAAGGUCAAGAGGAGAAAACUGAAAAUGGGGCAGCAUGCAUCUCAUUUUAUUUUUUUAUGCAAUAGAGCCCUAUAUAUAAAAUAAAUAAUGUAUCUAUAACCUUCUCUAAUUAAUUUACUUAGUAAUUGACGCAAUUUGGCCGAACUGUUUCUAAACACACUAAGCUUCAGUUCUAUAUAUACCACGUACCACAUGUAUGAAUUCAUCAAGUGUCUGAUAAUACUAAACCUACUUCGACAAAAUGGAGAAAAUUGAGGUCAGUAUAAUUUCCAAACACACCAUCAAACCAUCAGCUUCCACUCCACGACUUCAGCCUUACAAGCUUACCCUCCUGGACCAGCUCACUCCUGCAAUGUAUGUCCCCAUGGUAUUCUUCUACCCCAUUACUGAUCCUGUCUUCAAUCUUCCUCAAACCCUAGCUGACUUAAGACAAGCCCUUUCCGAGACUCUCACUUUGUACUAUCCACUCUCUGGAAGGGUAAAAAACAACCUAUACAUCGAUGAUUUUGAAGAGGGUGUCCCAUACCUUGAGGCUCGAGUGAAUUGUGACAUAACUGAUUUCCUAAUGCUUCGGAAAAUCGAGUGCCUAAAUGAGUUUGUUCCAAUAAAAACAUUUAGUAUGGAAGCAAUAUCUGAUGAGCGUUACCCUUUGCUUGGAGUUCAAGUCAACAUUUUCGACUCUGGAAUAGCAAUCGGUGUCUCCGGCUCUCACAAGCUCAUUGAUGGAAGAACGGCAGACUGUUUUCUCAAGUCCUGGGGUGCUGUUUUUCGAGGGUGUCGUGAAGAUAUCAUACAUCCUUGUCUCUCUGAAGCAGCAUUGCUUUUCCCACCGAGAGAUGACCUGCCUGAAAAGUAUAUAGCUUUGAUGGAAGGGUUACGGUUUGCCGGAAAAAAAGUUUCUACGAGGAGAUUCGUAUUUGAUGCGAAAACCAUAUCUGCAAUUCAAGAUGAAGCGAAGAGCGAGUCCGUGCCCAAGCCAUCACGAGUUCAGGCCGUCACUGGUUUUCUCUGGAAACAUCUAAUCGUUGCUUCUCGGGCACUAACAUCAGGUAAAAUUAGUUUAUCAACAAGCCAAAUAAUAAAGCCUAAUGUAUUUGGGGUACUUAUUUAUAUAUUUUUAUUA